This 49975-nucleotide long non-coding RNA is filed under the name Prunus persica (peach). Its description in RNAcentral is "long non-coding RNA (PPER_LNC001936)". The record is from RNAcentral. Lineage: Eukaryota; Viridiplantae; Streptophyta; Magnoliopsida; Rosales; Rosaceae.
GCGGUGACGAAAUCAGAGCUGAUUUUGAAGCCUCUGAUGCCCCUGUUGUUGCAAGUUGCACCUGAGAACAUGUUUUUUUUUUCUUUGGGGUAAAAAAACUGGCAACAUGUUCGGAGCUGACAAUUCAAUCCCUGAUGAACUAGAGAAGCGAAGCUCCGGUAAGGAAUUGGUCAAGGUUGUGACAGGGAUGAUUGAUGGUGAAAUGGAUGCUAUUUCUUAUUGCAGCCUGUUCUCAAAGUUCUUGUUGGCAAAUGCAAGAGAUGGAGUAUUUUGAUUGGGAGGAGAUAUAAUGACAUGGCUUGACAAUUCUAGAACAGCCCAUCAUUAAUCCCAGAAAAAAUCCAGUUUCUGCUAAACAAUCACUUAUGGCAAGGCCAACUCUGUAAAUGGAAUUUGUGAUCCCUUGAAAUUGUACACAUUUUUUCUUUUUGAGGAAUUUAAUCAAACAGUAUUCUAAUGUAUUAUGAUAGCACUACACGCUUUUGUUGUAACAAAUUACAAGGAGGAAUUUGGAUUGAGUUUCUUGUAUAAGCACACCUUACACAAAUUUGGUAUAUUUUCUUCCAGCAAGUCUGUUUAUUAACCCCCUUAUCUGAAAUUAAUUGUUAAAAGUUUUGAUUCAUCUUUAAUCAGUGUCUAACCCUUGUUGAAUAACACUCCUCUUUCUAAUUUAUAUUUGAAGUUUGAGGUUUCAAUUUCAAUUGUGGGCUUUGAUUUUACAGAUUUUGUUUGUCAAUUUCAGUUUGGACAAAGCAUAUGCAAACAAAAUAAGCAUUUUAUGUUAUACUUUUGAAAUAGGUGUUGAUUUGAUUUAAUCAUAAGUUUUGCUGGUGCAUUUACUAGGCUAUCAUUCAAUACUUUUGAUCAUAGAACUUCUUUGGUCGAUAUUAUCUUUGUUAAGUUUAACCAUAAAUUUAGAGAGGGGACUUCAACAGAUUUAUAAUCUCAUCAUUAUAGUAUUAAAAAUUAGAGAUUAAGGCAUUGUCUAUUAUCUGAAUUCUGCUUACUUUUAGUUCAUAUGUUUACAUCUUAGCAUAUUCAUGCGAUUAGUGCGGCUCAUACCACAAAGGCAACUUUAGGCUCAUCAAGUGCUAAGCAAUGUCAAGCUUCCAAGUGACAAGUUCUCUACAUAGUUUGAGACCUACACUUACUAGAUAUUAGAUCAUUUCGAUCAUUUCCAUAUGUUUAUAUGUAAUUGACAUGUUAUAACAAUUUUUGUAGCGUUAUAUAAUUAUUUAGCAAUUUAAUUAUUUCUUUGCAUCAAGAAAUAGUUCUUAAGUUAUUAAAAAAAAAAAAAAAGAUUUAAAAAAAAAGAUUUGUUGAUGCUUAAAAAGCAUCAAGAACAGGUAGUUUCUUGACGGUUUAGUGACGUUUCAUAACUGUAGGAGGCUUUUUCUUCCGACAGCUGUAAAUGGGCUGGGUUGCCGUAAAGGGCAGACUGAUGAAAUUGUCCCCUUUUGUCUGAGCUAGAAAAUUAAGCCCCAAAAUACUUCGAAAGGGCAGCAGAGCCUUAGGAAGUAUUUUGGUUACCCUCACCAACUAAAACAACAACAACUUACAGGUAAUUUCUUAAUGCUUACAGAUGAACUCUUGAGCUUGGCAUGAGAGACAUGUGGCAUGGAAGCAAAAUCAACAUGAGUUUAGCACUGAGGGGAAAUUUAGGCUCUCUUGGGGGAAAAAGGGAAGUGUUAAGGUGAGAGAGGAGAAGUUUGUAGGAGAUUUAGCUAAGAAAGGAGAAAUAUAGAACAAUGCUCUUCUGGCAGCUUGACAGAUGCUCUGUCUGCCAGAAAAGGAAGAUGGAGAAGAAAUGUGAAUAGUGCACGAGUUUGCUAGAUUUUUGCAGGUAAGAGAGGAAGCUUGCUCUCUGGGUCUGAGUUGAGUUUUGUUAGGUGGAAGAGACCUCAUUUUAUAGCUCCUGGAAACCAUCACUUCCCAAGAAACCCUAAUGGCUUCUACCCAUUUUGGCCAAGCUUUUCCAUUCCUUUCUCAUUUCCUUCCUUGACUUUACCCCUCUUGAUGAAAUCCUCUCUACCUAUUUGCACCAGAUCAGAGUUUUUUGAAGCUUAAGGCCCCCUUUUCCCGCAGUUGUCUCAAUGGGAGACUUUCAUUCCUAGUCAUUUCCUUUAUUGCUUUCCUUUCUUUUUUUCAUGGCCAAGUCUGGUGGGGAAAGGAGUUGGGAUAAAUAUGCUAGUUUGAAGGGUGCUUCUCUUCUUGGCAUCUUACACACUAAUACCCCUUGGUUCCUUGAAUGUUUUGGCUUUGAAACUUGCUCCCCUCCAUGUAUUGGAACCUCCCAGCAGCCCUGGUCAAUGAAUCUUCAGACCUUCUCUUCGUGGCUUUUAUUUUUUUAUCAACUGGCUAGGGCUUUUGUGGCUCAUUGGGGCAAUUGUAUGGGCUAAGGUGGUUCAUUAAGUAAGUGGGCUAUUUUUAUUAAACAUUGAGCUUUUUGGUUGAGUCACUAGGCUAUUUUGAUUGGGCUAUUGGGCUAUUGUUUCCUCUCUUGUGCUCACCCACAUGUUUGGACCAAAGAAAUGAGCUUGAGUCCUGAGGCUCCCAAGCGACCCGAGACUUUCCAUUUAUCGGUCCAUCAAUGGGCCUCAUGUUGAUUUAUUACCAUCCAUACCACACCCCACUCAAGCAAGCCCCGGGCAUUUGAGUGGCUUGGGCCCACUUAGGCUUGUAGUGUGGUUGGGUGCAAAAUAACGAUUUCGUGCUUGGCAUGUUUUAAUUUUAUCAUCCAUGGGAAAGGCUGCGAUGUUUGAUUUCGGCAUGGGCUUGUAGAGCUGGUAUGCUUUAUUUCAACUCCUAGCAUGACGAAUUAUUUAUUUAGCAUGGCACGUGAAUUACAACUCGCAUGUGGUGGGUUUUUGUGUACUACACCUUACGCCUCUUCUUAAUAGAACAUCGUUUCUGAUAAUUUAUUUGGGCCCAACCGUGAAUUUUUUGGAUCUCAAUAAUAACCAUCAUGAAACAUUACAUUUUGACUGACAUCAAGAAAUGGGGUAUCCCUUUCUUGAUAGUGGCAUCCAUGAUGCCUUCCAAGCCGUCAAUUAAGGGCUAUCGCGAUGCAUUUUAGUUGUCAGCAAAAGGUGUUUUUCUUGUACUAUAUUCACUCAAAAUCGUGUUUCAUUUAAGAUUAGUAGUAUGGUUGAAUACCAUUUGUUUUGUUAAAGAAUAUUAUACAUUAGGGAUUUUUGUAGAAAUGUCAUUUGAACUUAUACCUUAGUUUCAAUUUGUCACCUUGAAGAAAAAUUUAAGAGAAAUAUCACCUUAAUUUUUUAAAAUCCAUGAUUUGUCAUAUGACUUUAAGAUCAUCCAAUUUUCCAUCCAUUUUAAGGGUAUUUUAGACUUUUCAUUUUCAAGGAAAAAAAAGAGAUGAAAAAAGAGACCUCUCUCUUACUUUGUCCCCCAACCCAACCCCACCCGCCCCCAAAAACACAUCACAUAGGAUUGCCUCCCCCUUCCCCACUUUUCUUUUUUCUUUUUGUCAUACUUUUCCACUGUGUUUAUGUUGAAGGAUCUAAAGUUUGCUUGGUCACCAUCUUUUACGUAGGCUUCCUAAUUGUUGGUUUGGGUGGGUUGUGGGAAUUUGUGUGUGGAGGGCAAGGCUCUAUCUGACAGGACCCACCUCGAAUUCCUCGAAACCCGAGACGAAUCUUGUAGAAUUUCCGACAUCACACCGAUGCCGGGUCCACUUCUGAACUAAAUCCUCUUUUCCAAAAUUAAGGAAAAAUAGUACGAGGCUUUCUGCCAAAAUUUCGGCAGUCUUCCCUAUAAAUUUAACGUUUCAGCUUUGGAGGCCGUUCUUUCAUUUCUGCUUUGGUGGCCGGAUGAGAGAACGGCCGGCUAAAACGUGGCCAGCUGGCACUGCCGUCACGAGAGAGAGAGAGAGAGAGAGAGAGAGAGAGAGAGAGAGAGAGAGAGAGAGAGAGAGAGAGAGAGAGAGAGAGAUGUUUAUCAAACCAUUUUUGCCAAAAUUACGAUUAUGCAACUGAGGGUAUUUUGAUCGUAUCUUUUUCGUUAUAACUCCGAUUCAAGCCCACUACAUAUCUACGGACUCAUCUCGCCGUGCUCUAUGCAAUUGUAUAGUUGAAAUUCCCAAAUUCCAUCCCAGUCAAAAAGUCAACUUUAAACCUUAUAAAAUAUUCUAAGGGCAAAAUGGUCUUUUAUCUAAUUAAAUUAAUAAUUGAAAAUUUAUUUAGGACCGGGUCGUUACACUGUCGUUGAUGGACUGUGCGAUGGCACUCACACAAAGUCCUUAAGAAUAAAACACACACACACCAUGAAGAGAGUAAAACAAAUGCACAAAGAUUUAUAAAGGUUUGGCCUCCUGCCUACAUCCUCUUGGUGAUCCACCCGAGAAAUUCACUUGUACGUAAGAACAACUUUGGUUACAACUAAACCCCCUUAGCUUUCAUAAGAACCCUAGAUCUCUUUUCUCCCACCCUUGCUCCAACCCUUUGAUGCCCUUGUAAACACUCAAGAAUUCAUCCUUGAAUUCUAUCAUGUGUUACAUCUUCUCUUCUCCCCUUUGCCAACCUAACCCUACAAGUUAUAUUUAAAAUUCAUUGGACUUUAAGUACAAGUUAACUAGGAAUAGGAAACAUAAAAGACCCCAAAAAUUGGAGAAAAUAUGUCUAGAUCUCAUUAGGAAAUUGCACAACACGUGCGAUCCUCUCGAGCGCCUGCAAAAUCAUCCCUUUGCCGCUCGAGCUGCCGAUAGCUCAUGGGAUGGGGGAAUUAGAAAUUUUUUUUUUUCAAUUUUAAUUGUUUAAAAGAUAUACAAUUUAUUAAUAAUAAUUUUUCCAUUUUUAAAAUACCCUUGAAAAUAGAAAGAUUAAAAUGCCCUUAAAAAUGGAUGGAAAAUUGGAUGGUGUUAAGGUCAGAUGACAAAUCAUGGAUUUUGAAAAAUUAAGGUAACGUUUCUCUUAAAUUUUUCUUUACAGUGACAAAUUGAAAUUGAGGUAUAAGUUCAAGUUACAUUUCUGCAAAAAUUCUUAUACAUUAUGAUAUUCUAACAAUAAUUGGCUAAAAUUGAUAUGUUCCCUCUUUUAUUUUCUUUUUCUCUUUUCCUUUUCAUUUUAUGAUCCAAUCCUUUUCAUAUAUUUUUGUUCAAGACUUUGUUUUAUAAUGCUCUAUUACUAAUUUGGUACAGGUCCCUAAAAUCUCGGAGCCGCCUUAGUACAUUCAUAACGUACAUGUUCAGAGUUCAAGAAUAAUGUAUAGAAUGUGAAAUUGACGAUGCCGGCCUUUAUGAGGCAACAUCUUUAUUUCUUUGGUUAUUCCAGUUUAGAAUAUUUGCACAAAUGAGAUGACUCCAAGCAUAAAGUCACAUUCGACCAAAAAGCAUAAAGUCACACACAAAAAGAACACGGACAAUUGCUAAGUUUAUCCUUGUACCCUUAUUUUAUUGAUCCGACCCAAUUGAAAAAUAAAAAAAGAUGAUAAAAAAUAUUGUUCACUGCUUUAAAAUCUAUGAGUAGAGUCCUCCAUUUGAAAUUUGGUCAUUAUACAAAAUUGGAAUGAAAAAAGAAAAUCCUAAAGCUAUAUUUGAUAUAUUUCAUUUUCAUUUUUUGCUGGGUGUUAGGGCUCGUCAAUGGGCCGGGCCUGGCUAGCCCGGCCCGAAUUUAAUGGGCUUGGGCCAGGCCGGCCCAGGCUUUAAAGAGGAGAGAGAAAAUAUCAGGUCGAGUUUUUUAAGAAAAUUCAAAGCCCAAGCCUGACCCAUGAGCCGGGCUUGAGAAAGCCCAUCGGGCCGGGCCGGGCCUAAACGGGCCCUACUUCAUUCAAAAAAAAUCAUUAACUUAAUCAUAAGGUCAUUUUAGUCCAAAUUUGAGAUUAAACUCACUUAAUUCUAAUAUUUUUACUUCAAACCAAAUUCAUAAAACACCCAAUAAAGUCACACAACUUGUAAGAUUUUCCACAAAAAUAAUAAAACCAAGUAUUAUUUUUGAGGUUAUUACAUAAUUAGAUCGUAAUACGUUUUAAAAAAUAAUUUUUAAAAAUAAUAUUAAUAAGUAUCAAAAAAAUAUUUUUUUAAAGGAUGGUAUGAAUAAAUAUGCAAAUAUUUGGUGAUGUGUUCAAGAAAAGGAUGAUUAUAUUUGGUGGUACGAUUAUGUUUCGUGAUACGAUUAUAUUUAGUGAUGUGAUAUGUUGUUCAUCUUAUAUAUAUAUAUAUAUAUAAUUGUUGAACUAAUAAUUGACACAAAUUAAUGUGUUAAUCAUCCAAUUAUAAACUAGGAGUGAAUAAAGAAAAGUAAAUGAAAUGAAACAAAUUAUAUGUGUGAUUUAAGUGAUAUAAUCCUAAACCUAAACUCUUAUUUAUACAUAAUUAUAUAUGUAUGCGGGCCUAACGGGCCGGACUUUUGUGGGCGUGUCGGGCCGGGCUUUCUUGGGCUUAAUCAGGCUGGACCUAUGGGUCAGGCCGGGCUUCAAACACCCCAACACGAGCCUAGCCUAGCCCGCCUUGGGCCGGGCCAUCUCAAAGCCCAUAACGAGCCGGAUCGGGCUUUUUUCGAUUGGCCGGGCGGGCCCCCUCGACCCAUGAGCCCGCGGGCCAAAUGAUGAGGCCUACUGGGUGUUCAAUUUUUCUUGUUUCUUGUUGAAAAGAAAAAUGAUAAUUAAUAAAAUCUGAUUUGGUGGUUGUGCUCGUCACAAAUCAAUGAAAUGACAGCAGUGAUUUUGCAAGACAGCAUACCUUCUCUUGGGGUGCUUUUCAUUUUGCAACAUUUCUUUACGUGUAAUUUCCAGAGGAGGGUUUAUCAUUGUAUAUAGCUCUUCGGGUGGUUUUUUCUGCAAAACAAAUGUCACAAGGAAGGAGGAGAAACGGAAAAGAUUUACUUGGAAUGUCUCAAGUCUCCUUUGAGAUAAAGGCAUCGAAUGCACAACAUUGUUUUUGUGCUAUUUCAUAAUUAAAGUGUGCUUCCCAAGUCUCCUUUGCGUUUUGUAACUUGUAAUGUUUGUUUUUUUGUUUCCCCUGUUUUGUCUUUUAUAAAAGAAAGAGGAAUGCUAGCAACCUUCUCUCUAAUCUUCUCUUUUGGACCUUCUCCCUUUUCUUUUUGACAAGUGUCAUUUUCCAUACACUUAAAACAAUGACAUUAAUGCAUCACACAAUUUAGUUUUUGUUUUCCAAGUUUACCAUUUUAAAAUGUAUUGGCUUUUAUAUUUCCUUCAAUUAUUCACAUUUUGUUAUAACUUGUUUAGCACAUUAUUUUUUUUAAUUUAAAAAAAGUCAUAUUUUUUAAAAAUAAAAAUAAAGUUUGUUUCAUGACAUUGUUAUCAUUUUUAUUUUGUUUUUAACAAAACACGCAUUCUCUUUGGAAAAAUUAAAAAUUAAAAAACAAUUCAGUUUUUAUUUUCUUAUUUAAUUUUUAACAAGCUAGUAAGAAAGUUAUAAAAAAAAAUUAGCUUGUUAUUAAAAAAAAAUUAAUACAUUUAAUAAGGGUAAAUUUGGAAAACAAAAACUAGUUUGUGUGAUGCAUUAAUGACAUUGUUUUUAGUUUAAGGAAAGUGACACUUGUCAUGAGAAGAAGGGAGAAGGUCCAAAAGAGAAGGUUAGAGAGAAGGUUGUUAGCACUCCCCAUAAAAGAAAUACAGGUCUGAACCACACGGAUCUACUUGCAUAAUAAUGGACCAAAUUUAUGAUUUUUAGAAAGAACCUUCUACUGGUGGAAUCUUGGGCUACUGUUGUGGCUCUCCUCUGUGUGCCUCCUUUUUAGAAUGGUAAAAUAUUCAAAAUACCAGAAAAUGUUCAUGAUUAAUGCAAAUAUUAAGAAUUGAAAUUAUUAAUUAAAUGAAGAUAAUAUGGUAAAUUCACACUUUUUCAUAUUAAAAAAAUUAAAAUUAAAAGAAAUAUCAGAUAAUUACUCUUAUUUUUAUGGAACACAGCUACCCAUUAUCUUUUUUAAUUAUAAAAUAAAUUUAAAUUAUAAAAAAAAAAUCCUCUCACAUGCACGGAAGCGCGUGCUCAGAGGCUAGUUAAAAAUAAUGAACUUUGCUUCUGAUGUCUAUACCAGACCCACUCAACCUGCUUUAUGAUUAUACAAAGAACAAACUCGUCCUUAGACUCAUUUGGUUAAACUUAGAAAAUAAUGAAACAAAAAUAUACACACCCACAAGUAACACAGCCAGGAUUGAAAACAACUGGACAAAGAAAGGCAUGUUAAAACAGAAUUUUCAACAACUCAUCACCAUUAGACAAGAAAAAGAAAAAUCAAUACAGAAACAGAAAGAACAGAGAAUAAAUGUGGUGGAAGAAAAACGUUGAAGCCAUUUGUGAAUCCAACAACACUACCACUCUGUUUCUCUCCUUUUGUUCAGGCGGAUCUGCAUAUAUCCUAAGGCGUAUUACGGAAACAACUUCUUGCCGUUAUACUUGAAUGUUGUGGAUGCUUCAACGUUGCCAUCUGGGUGGAGUGGAUUUGUCCAAUUCACCUUCACUAUGGUUAAUCAACUAGACAGACAUAAGUCAGAAACAAUAGGUAUAUAGGUCCAAAUUGUUGUUAUUUGAAAGGCUUCUAAAUUUUAACAUUUUGAUUUCUAAAUUUUGUUUUAAUAUUUCGGCCCACUUAGUUCUUCUCAAAAUAUGUCAUCAAUAUCGUUGAAAGGUUGAACUUAGUGAAUUAUUAUAGUGCAGUACGGUAAAAUAGGCACAUGAUAUAAUUUGUCCACAUGUUCUAAUAUAAGUGAAUAUUUAUUGAUAUUAUUUUCAAAAAUAAAAAAUAUCAACCAUUACAUCCUCCCAUAUUAUAAUACAUAUACAAAUUAUACCACAUUAUCAUACUCUAAUACCAUUUUAUAAUUUCUCGUACUUAGGAGGUAUAGAGCGAGUCAAUGACAUUACAUAAUAUAUAAUUGUUCAUAUAAUGGGGCAACUAACGUGAUCAACAAGUUGUGGUGAUUAAUUUAACAUAAUAAAAAACAUACCAUUUACUAUGUAACAAUUUGUUCUUUUAAAUUGGAUUGUCAUCACUUUAAUAUGUUAUGUUUCUUAUUCUAGUCUCCCAUGUUAAGUGCUUCAGCAUUGUUUGUGGUGUGUACACAAAUUUUCUUAUAAAAUGUUUUAAUGCUUCUCACAUGUAUAUCAGAUAUAGACAGUUGAUGUGACUUAGAAAUCAAAUUGUCAAUAAAGAAAAAAAAUAUAAUUGGUGAUCGAGGUCCAAUUUAAUAGAAAAUAGUCUUAAUUUGUAUAUUAAAGGUUUCAGAUUCGAAUCCUCACUGCAUUAUUGUUGUAUGCGUACACGAGAAAUUCUAUUUCCCAAUAAUUUAGAUUAUCACUUAUACUAAAAAAAAUAUAUAUAAUAAGUUUUACGAAUGCAAACAUAAAAUUACACCAAACAAUAAUGGAAUAGAAAGAUGGAAGUUUUUUUUUUUUCCUACAUCUAAAGUAUACUUUAUAUAUAUAUUUAUUAUGGGAGUUAUAACCGUUUAAUUUUCAGUUUUUAUUUUCUAUUUAUUGUGUUAAUUUUUAUGGUUUAAUAUGUAUGGAGAUUACAAGUAUUGGAUGUCUAUAAAGGGCCACUCCUCCUUCACAUCUGAAACAAACCACCAUCUCAUUUCUGUAUUUUCAUACUUUCAUAUAUUUUCUACUUUCCAGAUUAUUAUUUUUGGGCAACGGUUUUGUGACUUGGAGAUUUCUAUCCGAUUGUUAACAUGCUCAUAACGGACCUUGAGCUUGCGUAUUGGGGAUCGUAUCUUGGAGCCUUGUAGACCUUUAUUACGUGCAUGUAGGGAGGCUACAAAUGCUUUAGGUCAGCGUCUUUGACGUACUUUUGCUUUCUUUUUUUACUUAUUUCUUCGUUUCUUUAUUUUUACUUUACUUUUAAAUCUUUAUUUUAUGUAUUAUUUAUAUUUAAAAGUUUUGAAUAAGAGUUUUACAGAAAAGGAAAAACACAAUUUCAAAUAACACAAAUUUCUCGUUUUUUGUUCUUAAAAAAGAAGAAGCAUUGAUUGGGGAGUUAUGGUAAACUCAGUUUCAAUGGUUGCGAUGAGAGGCGGUGGCGGCGAGGAGAGGACGAAGGCUUUGCUGCCGACGGGGUGGUGUGGCUGGCUGCUUGGUCCUGGGUUCUCCUUUAAUUCUCUGUUUUCUUUUUUCAUUUUCUUUUUCUCUUAGAGUUAUUGAUGUUAAGUGAAUGGACAGAUGCCAAAAUAGGGACAGAAGAUGUGAACCCAAUUAUAUACAGCUGCUGCUAUAGCUGAUUACAUAAAGUAACAAAUUAAUUAAUGCUUGAGUGGAGGACAGGCUUGAGUGGAAGAAUUGAUUAAGGCUUGAGUGGAAGACAAACUUCAGUGGAGGAAAGUAUAGAUAAGGAAAGCAUGCCUCGUUUAACGGCUUUAUCUAAUAAAGAUUACUUGUUGGCACUUGGAGUUUCUUAGGAAUGCUGGUUUUGUUUCCUUGGUGGACUUGAAAGGUGGUGCCUUGGCUCGGACAUCUCCCAAGACAUACAACUGCUCAUUAGCUGAAUAUCUCGCUCUCUUUAAAGAGAUCGAAGCAAACACAAUUUGCAAUUUGUGUGAUUCAAGCAUGAAUAUCUGAUAUAGUAACUAUACCAUUUGUUGGUUUGAUAAGAAAAGUUUGGUUAGCGAGGAUGAAACCAUAAAGUUCCCAAAACACACAAAGAACACGGACAAUUGCUAAGUUUAUUCUUGAGUUCACACAUAUUUGCACAAAUGAGAUUAUUCCAAGCAUGAUUAUACCAUUUGUUGGUUUGAUGUGAAAAGUAUGGGCAACGAGGGGUAAAACCAUACAAACACACACGAAGAACGUGGACAAUACUAAAUUUAUCUUUACGUUAUUGAUCCGACCUAACUGUAAAAUAAAAAAGAUGAAAAUAUAUAAUGUUCAGUACUUAGAUCUAUGAGCACUUGCACAAAACAUCACUUUUGGUCUUUGGUAAAUUUUUAAAAUAAAUGAAUUUUUUACUUAUUUGUGAACUGAAAUGCCUCUAAAAAAAUAAUGAUAGUUCGAAGAAUUUGAUAGAAAUUAAAAAAUAUCCUCAAAUUACUUGGAAUUGAAGACCACAUAGGCAAAAACACGAAAUUGAAACCUCACUUUAAUGAUAAAAAUGGUAAACUACAAAGACAAAAAUGACGUCUUGCCUUAUAAAUAAUUGGAAUUUGCUGGUGAUAAUAGUCGAUAUCAUCUUUUGUCGGUCCGACCUAAAAAGAAGAAAAAGUUAAAAGCAUCUUGUACCAAUUUUUGCCAAUGUGGGCCCAAACAAUUUGAAGAAGUCCACCGGCAAUUUCUCAAAAGCUAUUGUGUGAGUGUGAAGCUAAACCAAUAUUAUUUUGCAUAUCCGACCCCACAUCCCCAUGUGAUGUGAGGCUACAGAGGUGUUUCCAAAACGAAAUAUGAUAUUUCAAAACGUAGCUAUGUAUAGAGUCAUUUGUAUUUGCUUUCACAAUAACAUUUGAUUUUAUAUUUAUACAUUCUGAUAUUUUAACAAAUAAAUUGACUAAAUUUGGCCAACAGGAUUUAGCCGAAUAGAAAAGUUCUUAUUUAUGGACUAGUAAUUUUAAAUUUAAAAUUUAGACUAUCGCAUGUAUUUAAAAAAAACUAAACAAUUGGCUUAAUUUGAUAUAUUUCCUUUUUUUCCUUUUUGCAUUUUAUGCUGGUUGCCGUUAUUAAGUUUUAUCCUUAUUUUUUGUUGAAAAGAAAAUUGAAAAAAAUAAUAAUAAUUCCUACAGCUAGCAACUUCUCCACCUACAAAAAAUAAUAUUUUUUGUUUUAUCCUCAUGUGAGGCUACAGAAAAUUUUUGAAAACGAAACUGGAUAUUUUAUCUCUAACGACAGCUUUCAUACUUCGUUUACCCUGUGUUUCCAAGUUGUGCUAGCUAUUUGCAAACCUUGGAAUAUUACUUCAUCCAAAUCCCUUGCAGAGAAAAGAAAGAUAUGGCUUUGAUCGGAGAGGCCCUCAUCUCUGCUACCAUCCAGACGUUGUGUGACAAAAUUGCUUCGCCUGAGUUCACCGACUUAUUUCGGCAGAAAAAGCUCGAUGAACAACUCCUCAACAAGCUGAAGACGACGCUGUUGACCUUGUCCGUAGUGCUUAAUGAUGCAGAGGAGAAGCAAAUUGAGGAACCUUUAGUGAGAGACUGGCUUGACAAUCUCAGACAUAAUGUCUUGGCUGCGGAGGACUUACUGGAUGAAAUCGACACUGAAGCUUUGCGAUGCAAACUGGAAGAAGGUGAAGGUCAAACCCACAAUUUAACCAAGAAGGUACGUGAUUUUUAUCAACGCAUGAAUGUUGAGAUGAAAGAUUUAUUAGAAAGAUUAGAACAAUUUGUACAAGAGAAAAGUGCUCUUGGUUUGAGAGAAGGUGCUGGGAGGAAGGUUUCACGAAGAACAACAACUUCCUUGGUUCAUGAACCUUGUGUCUAUGGUAGAGAUGAAGUCAAAGAAAAUCUGUUGCCAAUUUUGUUAUCUGAUGAUGCAAGUAAGGAUGAUGUGUCUGUCCUCACCAUUGUUGGAAUGGGUGGGAUUGGCAAGACAACCCUUGCCCGACUGCUUUAUAAUGACGAUGAGGUGAAAGAACAUUUUCCACUUCACGCUUGGGUUUGUGUUACGGAAGACUAUGAUUCUAAUAGGAUAACUAAAACUCUUCUAGAGUCAGUCACCUCAAAGUCUUCUAAUAUGACAGAUCUAAAUUUACUUCAAGUUGAACUAAAAGAACAACUCAAGGGAAAGAAAUUCUUAUUUGUUUUGGAUGACCUAUGGAAUGAGAAAUAUGGUGAUUGGAAACGCCUCCAAACUCCUUUUACUUCUGGGGCAAGGGGAAGUAAAGUCAUUGUAACAACACGGAGCCAACAUGUAGUAUCUGUCCUGCAAAGUGUUCAUGUUCAUCACUUGGAACCCUUGUCGCACGAAGAUUGCUGGUUCUUACUUGCAAAACAUGCAUUUGGAAAUGAAAAUUGCAGUGAUCCAAACUUGGAAGAAAUUGGCAAGAAAAUUGCACACAAGUUCAAUGGGUUGCCUUUAGCUGCAGAAACACUUGGGGGUUUGUUACGUUGCAAUAUAGAUUCAGAGGAAUGGAAUACAAUACUAAAUAGCAGUAUUUGGGAGCUACCCUAUGAUAAAUGUGACAUUCUUCCGGCUCUUGGGUUGAGUUACCAUUAUCUCUCCUCCCAGUUAAAACGAUGCUUUGUUUAUUGUUCAAUUUUUCCAAAGGAUUAUGAGUUUAAAAAGGAAGAUAUAGUUCAAUUUUGGAUGGCAGAAGGUUUAAUUCCAAAAGCUGAGAAUGGAAAGAGCAUAGAAGCGGUAGCUAGAAAAUACUUUGAUGAGCUGUUGGCACGAUCGCUAUUUCAAAAGUCAAGCAAAUCCGGUUUCACAAUGCAUGAUCUCAUUAAUGACUUGGCCAUGUUCAUGUGUAAGGCAUUUUGCCUUAGGUUGGAAGGGGGGGAAUCACAUGUCGUAGAAAAAGUUCGGCAUUUUUCAUAUGCUAUGGAAAGAUUUGAUGCAGCUCCAAAAUUUGAGCCAUUACAUAGGGCUAAGUUUAUGCGGACCUUUCUACCCAUAUCAUUAAAUUUUGUUUCCACUUCUUAUGUAACUAAAAAGGUUCUACAAGAUUUGUUGCCGUCACUAAGAUGUUUACGGGUGUUAUCAUUGUCACAUUAUCAAAAUGUUACUGUGUUACCUGAUUCUAUUGCAAACCUCAUUCACUUGCGCUACUUGGAUCUUUCCGGUACCGCAAUUGAAAGGUUACCUGGGGUACUUUGCAAUCUCUACAACUUGCAGACAUUACUAUUGUCAAAAUGUUUCUCACUCCUUGAAUUGCCUGCAGACAUUAGAAAAUUGACUAAUUUACAGAAAUUGACAUUGCUCGGUUGUAGUUCUCUUAAUAAAUUGCCUGCAGGCAUGAAGGAGUUGACUAAUUUGCAUCAUCUUGAUGUCAGUGGAACUAAAAUUGAAGAGAUGCCGGUGCAAAUGGGUAGAUUGAAAAGUUUGAGAACAUUGACUGCAUUUGUUGUGGGCAAAUCUACUGGGUUAGGCAUAAGAGAACUGAGGCAGUUCCCGCAACUUCGAGGAAAACUAUCAAUUUUGAAGCUACAAAAUGUAGUUGAUGCGAGGGAUGCACUGCACGCCAAUAUGAAGCACAAGAAAGAUCUCAAGGAGUUAAAGUUUUCAUGGGGUGCGGAGGAUGCUGAUGAUUCCCAAAAGGAGAAAGAUGUACUCGACAAGCUCCAGCCUUGCGUGAAUUUGGAGAAAUUAUCCAUCAAAUUCUAUGGUGGAACCAAUUUUCCGAAUUGGUUAGGAGACUCGUCUUUUUCUAACAUACAAGUCAUGCAUCUCAGUGACUGUAGUUAUUGUUGGUUGCUCCCACCAGUUGGACGGCUACCGGCACUCAAAGAGCUCUGUAUAAAAAGAAUGAAGUCUUUGAGGACGAUUGGCGUUGAAUUCUAUGGCAGAAAUGGAGCUUAUCUGACUCAGCCAUUUCGAUCUCUGGAGAAGCUAGAGUUUAGGGGGAUGCCGGAGUGGGAGGAAUGGGUACCAAGUGGAAGUGCAAGUGGAGGUGAAUAUGGUCCAGACUUUCCUCGUCUCCAAAAGCUGAUUCUAAACGAGUGUCCGAAGCUAAGAGGAAGUUUGCCUUGUGAGUUGCCUUGCUUGAAGAAGCUUACGGUGUAUGGGUGUAAGGUUUUACAUGAUGGAAGGACCGCUACCGCAACUACCAAUAGUGUUAACUAUAAAUCUCUGGAAGAAUUGGAUAUAAGUGGUGGAUGCCAAACUCUGUUAUCAUUAUUAGAGACAAAGCUCCUGUCCCGACUUCGGAUUCGAAAUGUUGUUGACAUACAGUGCUUGCCCAACUGCAAUCGUCUUCAACGUUUGACUCUUUGCCUAACGCUGUCAUCGUUUCCCAAAGAUGGCCUACCCACUACAUUGACAUCACUUUAUAUAAACAAUUGUAGGAAAUUAGAAUUCCUACCUCAUGAGAUGUUGGCCAAAUUAACAUCGCUUGACUAUUUGUGCGUACAAAAUAGCUGUGAUUCAAUGAGGUCCUUCCCGUUGGGCAUUUUUCCCAAAUUGACGACGCUUCAAAUUCGUGGUUGUGAGAAUCUGGAAUCUUUUUCCUUGAUUGAAGAAGAAGGAGCUGUUGACAAUCUCAGCCAUCUCAAUUCCUUGCGUGUCUAUAACUGUCCAAAAAUGGUGUGUUUUCACGAGGGAGAAUUGCCCACUCCCAACCUGAGUCACUUUGUAGUCAUUGGUUGCGAGAAUUUGAAGUCAUUGCCCGAACGCCUUCACACCCUCACUGCCCUUCGAUCUUUGAAUAUAUGGAAUCUUCCGAAUCUGGAGUCAUUUGCAGAAGAUGGGGGUUUGCCUCCCAACCUCCGAUCUUUUAUCAUUAGGAAUUGUAAGAGACUGAGGGCACUUGACUCAGUGGGUUUGCAAGCACUUGUCUACCUUCAGAUCGAUGGAAGUGACCAUGUCUUGGAGACGUUGCUGCUCCCUACCACUCUUCACACUCUCUGCAUCUCUGAUCUAUCAACUCUGAAAUCUUUGGACGGAAAGGGUCUUGGACACCUCACUUCUCUUCAAACUCUAAAAAUUUACAGCUGUCCAAGUCUUCAAUGCCUGCCAGAAGAGGGUUUGCCGCCAUCUCUUUCUCAUCUGAGUAUCCGCUGUUGUCCUACCCUGGAGGAAAGGUAUAAGAAUAAAACGGGACAAGAUUGGGCAAAGAUAUCUCACAUUCCUUGCAUCGAGAUAGGGGAAGAAGUGAUCAUAUAAUAUGAGCUAUUCCAUAUUUCACGCUCAACCCUCAACUCUCAAAUCAAAGUCAGGUGAGGUAUGUGCCUUCUCUUACUUUAAAAAACUGCUUCUCUUCUUCUAAUUGAAUACAAAAACCAAAACACAUAUUCUCUUUCUCUUCCAAAAACCCAAAUACAUGUUGGACAUUGCCCAAAUUUGUCUCCAAAUUCCUAGUUUAAAUCAAAUUUAAUGCCUAUGGAUAGUUUGUUAAUAGGUUCAUGCCAUGAAUUAAUCUUUGGACUUUCCCAGGUACUGCAGGUUUGUUAUUAAUGUUGUGGCCUGAUAUUCGUCGUAUCAAUACGUUGAGGAGAGAGAUCGAUCAGCAAUUACAAAAUUGUUAGUGAAUUUAGCUUGUUUAUCAUCUCUCUCCUUUUGUUUGUUAAGUUUUGUUGUUCUAGGUUAAACCCUUGUCCCCGCAUUUCACAGCAACUCUGUGUUUUUCCACUCUGUUUAGAUUUCACUAGCAGGAGAGCCCGCGCGAUGCUGCGGGUUUUGAAAUUGUGUAGACAAAAUUAGAUUGUUUAUAUAUACAAUGAGAUUUAAUUUAUAACAUUAUGUUUAACUACAGGAGUGUAAGUUGCAAAAAAGUAUAUAAUAACAUAUUUUACAGGCUACUUGUUAUGGUAAAAUACUAUACUUGUUUGUAUAUACAUUGAGAUGUUUAUAGUAGGAAGUAGGCAUCAAAAUAGCAAAAGUUGGAUAGUUUUGUACAGAAUGUUAUUUAAUUGGGCAAGCUUUGUUUUGCACUUGCUUCAUGAUUUUUCUUCUCUUUCAUGGAAGUCUUGAUCCUGUUAUAAAAAAAAGUGAGAAAAUAGUAAAUGUUAAUAUUGAUGAAUGGGGGAAAUUGAGUUAGGACAAUAAUCAUAAACAUUUAAUUAUGUAUAAACAGGAAUAAUAUAAUUUAUUGAUUUAAUAAGAAAGUUAUAAAUAGUUUUUCAAUCUAGGAAAUACAAAGUUACAAAAUUAAGAGAACUAAUGAGCAAGUUGUAGAUGGUUUUCUAAUUGAAGUAAUACAAAGUAAACAUAUUUUAAAUUUUGUGUUUGUCUAAAAGAAAAGUUGAAGAGAGGCAAAAUAAUUAUGGUUGAAUAUAUGGAGAAAAGGAUGUCAAUAUAAUGUUUAGGUUUUUAUGUAUUAGGAAUAUAUGACUUUUUUGCUGUUAUUUAGAGCAAAAAUUAUUUAAGGGCUUGACAUUUCUGUUAAAAAACGGGUAGAAUCUACCCUGAAAAAUGGACAUUUUGCCAAAAAAUUCACCUGUAAACUAAUUAGUACUGAAUACCGAUUGGCGAAGGCAAGACAAUCAUAGUUGUGGAGUACAUAGUUAGAAAGAUGAAUGUGCAAACGUACAUCUAACCCCAUGAUAUACAUCUAACCCCAUGUGAACAUGAUUUAUUCUACAACAAUGAUUAUCAAUUUUCUAAUUGCUCAUUUUCCUAACCCUAAUCAUCACAAACCCAAAAUUAACUCUAAAAAUUUCAAAUAAGCAUGGUUCUAAACCAAUUUCUAACUUACUUAGCGAAGUCUUUUCUAUAAAUGAUAGUUGUUGAAGAAAAAGGGAAACGAAAAUAAGCUUUUAGUGUAUAAGUACAUUGAAGCAAAACAUGAAGAGAAUCCAAUAUAUAACUUCAAUAUAUAACUUUAAUUUUCUAUAAGUGUUGAUCUAAAUUUACAUCCCUUACCACUCUUCAAUUUAAAAAUAGUUUUAGCUACAACAAACAACUUCAGAGAGAAGAUUUGGCCCUGUUUUAUAAGGCAAAACCUCUCUAACCACAUGACAUACAUCUAACUCCAUGUGAACGUGAUUUAUUCUACAACAAUGAUUAUCAAUUUCCUAAUUGCUCAUUUCCCUAACCCUAAUCAUCACAAACCCAAAAUUAAUUCUAAAAAUUUCAAAUAAGCAUGGUACUAAACCAAUUUCCAACUUACUUAGUGAAGUCUUUUAUAUAAAUGAUAGUUGUUAAGGAAAAACGGAAACAAAAAUAAGCUUUUAGUGUAUAUGCACAGCACAGAAAUUGCAUGUAGCUUUCCGAUUUUUAUCCCAACUUCGUUUCUGUGGAAUCACAAAACUACAUACGCACAGCACAGGGAAGGGAAAAAAAAAAAAAGGCACAUUUAAGAGACACCUAUCUUCUCAUUCUACAUCACAUCCUCUUUUCCUAGCUUUCCAACCUUGCAACCAAAGCAAACAUCUUUCCUGAUAAAGGGUAGGAAAGAAAGUGGUUGUGUGAAUUGGGAUGAGAGAGACAGAGACAGAGACAGAGACAGAGAGACAAAGAGAGAGAGAGAAAAGAGAAAUCAAAGUAUAUAUAUAAAUAGUAAGUAUAGUUUAUAUCAUGCAAAGUUUUGAUGGUUUCGUUCAAAAAAAAAACAGGGAAAAAGUUUUGAUGGGUAAUUCUAGUAAUAAUGUUCUUAUAAUUCUAUAUAUAUAUAGAUAUCAAACUGUACUACCAUAUUCUUCCUAUAUAUACACUUGGUCGUCAACUACCUCUCUCUCUCUCUCUCUCUCUCUCUCUCUCUCUCUCUCUCUCUCUCUCUCUCUGUGACCUGCAUUUAUACAGAACCAAUUAUUCCAUCUUCACUAUACAUUUUCCUCAUCUUCCCAUUCAUAUUUUAUGGCUCUCUUGUUCUUCCUCCUAAUUCUUUUGGUCCCUGCAAGCAAUACUAAUUGGCCACCAUCACCUGGCUACUGGCCAAGUUCUAAAUUCAGGUCUAUGAGCUUUUAUAAAGGAUUUAAAACUCUCUGGGGUCCUCAGCAUCAAAGCUUAGACCAACAUGCAUUAACAAUCUGGGUUUAAUGAGGCCAGAAAAUUUUAAGAACUUAUCUACCAAGCAUACCAAACUGACAAAGCAAACCAUAUCUGUAUUUUAUCAUCAAUUUCAUCAAUUUUAUCACCAACAACAGAUAAAAAAAGGGAAUUUUUUCAAAAAAAAAAAAAAGGAAAAAACAUAAAUAAAAAAAGGGGCACAUUUAAGAGAGACCUAUCUUCUCAUUCUACAUCACAUCCUCUUUUCAUUUUGAAGCGGUCAUGUGUUGUGAGUUUCUUGUUUUAUAAAUUUUCAAAACUGUUGUUUAGAACUGCAAAAUUCUUCAUCAUAUAUCUUGCCUUCUAAUAUACAUUCUGUAUCAGGAAACUGGAAUGAGGCUUGCUCUUUGAGGAAGAGAAAUAAAAGAAAAAGUUGUGGCAAAGGUUCACGGAUGUAGUUGGAUUGUAGUGGGACAGAGAACAAAUUUAUUUGUUGCAGGGGAAAAGUCUCAUCCAAAUGCUAUGAAAUCAUGGCAACUUUAAAGUAUUGGACAGCAAUAAUGAAAGAAGAGGGCUAUGUUGGUGACACAGAUUCUUGCUUGCAUGAAUAAGAGGGAGAAAAGCCCCUAUGGUAUUGACUGUUGCCGCCAAGUGCAUAUUGUUAUUACUAUGCGUACUACAUCCCAAGGCCUCUCUCAGCAGGAUUACAAAGUAAACCAGAAUUACUAUCCCAGCAGUAUUCUGCAACUUUGCUCUGCACUUCCUUAUGUAAUCUCUCUCUCUCUCUCUCUCUCUCUCUCUCUCUAUAAAUAUAUAUAUACACACACACACACACACACACAUAUAUCUAGGCAUGCAUAUUUAUGAGUUCCCCAUUGAGGAGGGAUUCCCUUUUGAGGAUUUUAUAAUUAGAAUUAGACUGCCUUCUUAACCAAUAGUUGGGUUUGUGUGGUAAGGUAUGCUGGGUUUGUUGAUGUGGAUAUUUAUGCCUGGAGGUGCUUUGUUUUACUACUUCGUUGAAGUAGAAACAGACACUGACAAAGAAGCCCUUCAUUCUUUGUCUCAAUAGUGAUUGGUUUCUUUGAUCCUAUUCAUCAUAUCUGGUGGUGAGGUUGCCUAAUCAGCCAAAUGUUGGGUUCAACUACCUCUCUCUCUCUCUCUCUCUCUCUCUCUCUCUCUGUCUCUCUCUCUCUUUCUCUCUCUCUCUGUGACCUGCAUUUAUACAGAGCCAAUUAUUCCAUCUUCACUUUACAUUUUCCUCAUCUUCCCAUUCAUAUUUUAUGGCUUUCUUGCUCUUCCUCCUAAUUCUUUUGGUCCCUGCAAGCAAUACUAAUUGGCCACCAUCACCUGGCUACUGGCCAAGUUCUAAAUUGGCCAGAAAAUUUUAAGAACUUAUCUACCAAGCAUACCAAACUGACAAAGCAAACCAUAUCUGUAUUUUAUCAUCAAUUUUAUCGCCAACAACAGAUAAAAAAAGGGAAUUUUUUCAAAAAAAAAAAAAAAAAAGGAAAAAACAUGUUUAGUCUUUGCUUUCCAAUGUUUUAUCCAAAAACCUGAAAAUCAAAGUAACUAAAUAAAUGAACCCAAUCAUUCCUAAUUUCUAUUUUGUCAAAACCUAAUUAAGCUUCACUUCUUUUUUGCUUGUAUUUUAUCAUCAAUUUCAUCUAUUUUAUCACCAAUAGCAGAUAAAAAAAGGAAAUUUUUUCAAUUAAAAAAAAAAAAAACAUACUCAGUCUUUGCUUUCCAAUGUUUUAUCUAAAAACCUAAAAUCAAAGGAAUCAAAUAAAUAGGGUUUAGGGCUCAAGAACCUGAAAUCAAAAGAACCAAAAAAAUGAACACAACUCUACAUAGCACGAAAAAUCUCCCAGCCAACAAUCAAAUUCAUGAAAUAAAUACCAAAAGAUCUGUUAAAAAAUUGAUGAGAUGCAUACCUGAAAACAAAGGAUGCAACAAAGAUGGAAGCCUGAGUCGAAGCAAGAACGAUGGAAGCCUGAGUCGAAGCAAGAAAGAUGGAAGCCUGAGUCGAAGGUUGUAGAAAAGACGAAAUCUCCCGAUCCCAAAUCUGUGACACGAAGACUGAAAGCACGGCUGGAUUUGCAGCUCACCUCCCAAACAAAAAUCGACGGCCUUCAACGCAUCUCCAGCAACGAACACAACUCUUCCAUGGCUGCCCCCCAACCAGCUGGUUGGAAACGAACGGGAGAAAAUGGUUUCUCUCAGCGGACGAAACCAUCUCAACGAAGGGGGAGGGGCAAAAACGGGAACAAAAGAAACUGUUUAGUCAAGGGCAGUUUCGUCAUUUAACUGUGCUGCAGGAAAAAAAACGAAAACAGCAGAAAAAUGAGGGGCAUUUCCGUCAUUACACUGUGCUUAGCUACAGUGUUUAGUUGCAUUGGGUUUUAGUAUAUAUAUAAUUUAUGUUGUGAUUCGACUGCUGCUGUAUUUUAGAUUUAUAGGAACAGACCAAACAUGUUGAUUCUAUCACCAAAAUUAUAAAGUAUACUUCCAUUACAAUUAAUUUGUUGAUUCUAAUUUGGACUUGUAGGAACAGACCAAACAUGUUCAUACGUGGCAUUGCUCAAGUCAUCAUCAUUCGGGACAGAGAAUAAGCCUUCAAAUGUCUGCUGAGUCAAUGAACCUUUCUAGAUAUCUCAAGUGUAAUGGAAAUUGAUGAGUUACAAAGGAUUUGUAAACAUUUUCUACUGGAGGCUAGAAAUGCUUCAAAUAAAUGACUCUGUUGCAAUUAUUUUGUAGGAUCAAAGACUCUGCAAAGAGGUAAGAAAGUCAUCAUCAAGUAACUUCGCUCUUCAUACUUUUUAUUAGGGGUGGGCAUUGGAACCGCAAAACCGCAAAACCGAACCAACCCAAUCCGAAAAAAACCGAAAAAAACCGUGUUGACCGAAAAAGUCAAAAACCGAGACAAAUCCAAACCGAACCGGUUCAGACCGGUUCCGGUUCCGAUUUUCCACCUUAAGGAACCGGUCCAAUCCGAACCGGUCCAAUAUAAUUAAUUUUUAUAUUAUAUUUAUAUUUAUAUUUAAAAUAUCAAAUUUUGUAGGCCCAAACCCAACUAUUUCAUUAUACCAACAAAAAGCCCAAAUCUCCCAAGUCCAUUGCCCAAGUCCAACAAGCCAUAUUUUAAUAUCCUAAUCACAUCAAAUCUCACUUCACUCUCUCUCUCUGACGCACUCUCUCUUUUCCUCUCAGAUUUUUUUUACUCUCUUUUUCUUUCUUUCUUCUCUCUUCCGCCUCUUUUCCUCUAGGUUCUUUAACUUCUUUUUACUUCUUUCUUUCUUCACUCUUCUGCCUCUUUUCCUCAGUUUUUUCUUCUUCUUUCUCUCUUAUUCUUUCUCCUCUCAAUUCGUCUCCAUUUUUUUUCCCUCUCUUUCUCUGAUUUUCUGUUACUCUGAUUUUUUUCUUCUUGGUUUUAUGUUUCUCUCUCUCCCUCUAUAUCUCUUUCUUUGCAACUCUGUUUUUCAAUUUCUCCUUUUUUUUCUCUCUUCAUUUUUUGUUUCUCUGUACAUAUAUGUGUUCAUCUUGUAGAUCUGGGUGAAAUUCUUGUAGAUCUAGGUGAAGUUCUUGGAGAUCUGCGUUAAGUUCUUGUAGAUCUAGGUAAAGAGCCAAUUCAAAGCAGGUCAGCGUCUCUUAUCUCCCCAAUCCCUUGUGAAGAUAUGUAUUUUUUUUGUUGUCAACAAUCCAUUUUGGUGUUUUUAUAUGGUAUUGAUAUUUUCUAUGAUUUUGGGCUGAUUUGAGGUCUGAUUCUUUUUUUUUCUUUCAAUUUUUUCCUGUUGUGUUUUGAUAGACAUGUUCUCUAUUCCUGAUAUCAUUCCUCAGUGGCAAAAUCUUUGAGCGUUGUUGUAAAUUUUAGACGGGAAAGAAGCUCAUUCAUAAUUCAAAAAAAGAAAAUAAAGUUACAACAACUGACAAUUUGUUGCUCUUUGAAAUAGGUACUGAAGUAGCAUGGAUAAAAAGAAAGACUGAAGAUGUUGCAGAAGAUUGAAUAUGUUCUAUUUCUGUAAUUUGUUUGUAAUUAAAUUUGUUUAUUUUGUUUUGUUUUUAGGUUGUAAGUUUUAUUUUAAUGUUUGAUAUUUGUUGUUUUGUCAAAAAAUUGUAUUAAUGCUUGAUGGAUUCAUUCAAUUUGCAGUGCGUGGAUGUGAAUUGGGCCAAUCGGUAAUAAUUAGGCCCAAAAGGUUUUAAAUAUCAAUUGGGCUGAAACUUACAAAAAAAUUUAAGAACAAAAAAAAAAUCAAUUAAGCUGUGUGUCGGCCCAAACCGUAAAAACCGGAACCGAACCGGAUUCAAAUGGGUUCGGGUUGGUCCGGUUUUCUCAAGCAUUUUAGUAAAAAUCCGAACCGGACCGGACCGGUGAACAGUACCGGUUCCGGUUUUAAAUUGAUGCAAAAACCGGUCCAAACCGGACCGUGCCCACCCCUAUUUUUUAUUUUUAUUUUUAAAUAUCAGUAAUAACUGGGAAAGCUUGCAUCUCCUUAAAUUGCUCAUUCUUACAUCUUUUAUAGUUUGUUGAUCUUGGGCAAGUGGAGAGAGAGGCGUCAAGUGAUACGCAACAACCAUUUUCUGUGAGCUGAUUUGAUAAAGAGAAAUGGUAUGCUUUCUUGUCUUAAGCGGUGUGUUCUGCAAUUAUUUGAAACAAAGGAUGCCGCACUUCAAGUUCGAGAAAAUCAGGUAUUUUAGUAUUUUAUUCUUGAGAAAUUUGAUUUAUGUAGAAACUUGAACAUGUAAAUGAGAGAAAAAAAAAUAAAUAUAUAUAUAUAUUAUAUAUUGUAUAUGCUGUUAAUGAGUUAAUAUGGUGCUUGCUCCUAGUUGGAAAUUUAUGUAGUCAUCUACCUAUGAUCAAAUAAAGAUGAAAAAUAAAAUAAAAUUGAGAGCAUCUUCCUCUCCCCUGCUUUGCUCAUCCCUUGUUCUUCCACUUCAGCCCCACUAUUACACCAUUUUUUUCAGCCACAAUUAUAAUAGCUCCAUGAGCAUUAAGUCCCUUUCAAAUUCUGCUGACAUUCAAAAUUGGAAUCUGCUGGUGAUAUAUGAUAGCGUUAACAUAUUGUACCAUUUUGGCCAGUGUACGCAAUAUUAUUGCAUCCAACUUUGCAUAUUAACAUCAGUGGCCACAGUUACACGAUUUGAGUGCACAGAAAGGUUUCAAAAGUUGUCCCACAGAGAACAGUCGUUCAAAGUGAGAGAGUUUUGAAAGCUUAAUUACAAGUUCAUGUUGUUUACAACCUCAAAAAGCUUUCAUACUUGCUUACAAACCUGUAUUUCCAAGUUCUGCAAACCUUGGAAUAUCACUUCAUCCAAAUCCCCUUCCAAAGCAGGAAAAAAUGGCAGCAGCUUUGAUUGGAGAGGCUCUCAUCUCUGCUUCUAUCGAGGUGUUGUGUGACAGAGUUACUUCAGCCGAGUUCAUAGACUUAUUUCAGCAGAAGAAACUUGAUGAAACACUCCUCAUGAACCUGAAGACGACACUGUUGAUUUUGUUUGCGGCGCUCAAUGAUGCAGAGGAGAAGCAAAUUGUGAACCCUGCUGUGAUAGAGUGGCUUAACAGCUCAAGCAUGCUGUCUUUGAUGCAGAGGACUUACUUGAUGAGAUUGACACUGAAGCUUUGCGAUGCAAGCUGGAAGGUGAGGAUCAAACCCACAAUAAUUAACCAACAAGGAUCUUUUUGAUUGUUUGAAAGGAGGGUCUUUGAUGAUUUGAAAGGAGAGGGUUGCUUCAUUUCUGUUGGAUGCUUAAUUAAAUCUUAUCUGGACUUGAACAAGGAUUAGGUUAGCUGUAUAAUUCGUGGUAAACACCUUUUUCUAAGGUUCAUUUAGACUCCUAUUACGAUUAAUUUGUUGUUUCUAAUUUGGACUUGUAGGAACAGACCAAAUAUGUUCACACGUGGCAUCGUUCAAGUCAUCAUCAUUUCAGACAAAAUCAGCCUUCAAGUGUCUGCUGACUCAAUGAACCUUUCUAGAUAUAUCAAGUGCAAUGGAAAUUCAAGAGUUACAUAGAGAUUUGUAAACAUUUUGAAGAUUGCAACACCUGCAAGUGAGAUAGGUGGUGACGAAAUCAGAGCUGAUCUUGAAGCCUCUGAUGCCCCUGUCGUUGCAAGUUGCACCUGAGAACAUGGUUUUUUUUUGGGUAAAAAACCAGCAACAUGUUCGGGGCUGGCAAUUCAAUCCCUGAUGAACUUGAGAAGCAAAGCUCCAGUAAGGAAAUUGGUCGAGGUCACGACAGGGAUAAUUGAUGGUGAAAUGGAUGCUAUUUCUUAUUGCAGCCUGUUCUCAAAGUUCUUGUUGGCAAAAGCAAGAGAUGGAGUAUUUUGAUUGGGAGGAGAGAUAAUGACAUGUGUUGACAAUUCUAGAACAGCCCAUCUGAGUUCUUUUGUCAGGCUGCAUCAUUUAAUCCCAGCAAAAAUCCAGUUUUUGCUAAACAAUCAAAUUGUACACAUUUUUUCUUUUCGAGGAAUUUAACAUUACACAUUUUUUCAUUUUUUCAUCAAACAGUUUUCUAAUGCAUUUGUUGUCCCAAGUUACAAUGAGGAAUUUGGAUUGAGUUUCUUGUGUUAAUAACAUUAUACUUUCAUGGAAUGGUUUAUCUUCUUUUUCUGGACAAAAAUAUUUAGAUUAAUUUCUUGGAAUAAUUUUUUAAUAAUUUUUUAAUUGCAGUAGCGAAAAAAGGAAAAUUGUAUUUUUCAAAACCAAUCUUAAGUCCAGUUUCCUCUUCUUGGUCGUCACACUUGGAAAUUGCUAACCAUAUAUAACUUGGGGUAACAAUCUUAGUCCGAAUGUGUACGAUCUUAGUCCGAUCAAUGGCUACGCGUAUUGGCUCGGCCUUGGGGUCUACCAUUCCAGUGUACAAGCUUCCUGGGUCUUGGGGCAAUUCCUUCAAAUUGUACACAUGUUUUCUUUGAGAAGCAAGGCUCUAGUAAGGAAAUUGGUUAUGUAACAAAUUUUGGUCCCUUUGGAUGGAAUGAUUUACAAUGAGGAAUUUUAUUAUUAUUAUUUUGUUUUUGUUGUUAGUGUAAUGAAAAUGAUCUAGGUUCAUACACUGGGUAUAGCUCUAAUUUGGCCAAUUUCAUUAUUUUAGUUUCUUCAUAUUUUCAAUUAUUAUAAUUUGGUGCGUUGUUUUUUAAAAACAUUCAUGAGAAUCUCCAUUUUUUAGGUGUUUAAGUUAUUCAUCCACAACGGUUUUAUAAUACCGUCAUCUUUUCAAACACAACGAUGAUUUUUUAAUCUAUCGUCGUUGUUUUCUGAUCGUCUUUUUCACUUUUUGUAGUAGUGUCAAUAAGUAAGAUGAAAUAAUACAUUCACAAUCUGUUUAAAUUUUAAAUUAAAAAAAACACAAGAAAAUUUUAAAUAAGUAAGUAAUUUUAAAUAUAUAUUUCCAUUGUUUUGGUUUUCUUUUCAUAUUAGUUUUCUACUAGCUGCUAAUUUCAUUUAAAUUGUUUUUCUUACUUCAUUUAACUUUUAAGCAUGCAGAUGCAAUCAUGACUUCUUCUUUUUUUCAAUAGACUGAUUCUCUUCCCACAUAUAUAAUGCUCUCUAAGUAUUCGUAAUAUGAGUAGGAAUUUAUUUUCAUUUCACAAGAAUUGUCCAUCAAAUUCUGAUAGGUUUGUCGAUAGCACAAGCAUGCACAUAUAGACACUACAAGAACUUUGUUUCUUCAUUUUGUUUCCUAAAGAUUUGUUGGCUUCGUGCAGAUGAAUAACAAGUCUCUCUGUCCUCUAUUUCUUCUUUUUCUUUUUUAACAAUUCAUAUUCUACUUUCUGUUUUCACCCAGUAAAAAUUGAUUUUAGACAUGGGCUUCUAAAUUAUGUGCGGAUAAUGGUUGCAUUUAUAGAAUAUCCAUGGGCUUCUAGUCACCGUGGUUGUUGAUUCAGCAUGUCAUAUUACUCUUGGACUAGCUGUUGACACUACUACAUUUUACACUUUGCGCGACGAAGAACAAAACGUCGCGCAAAGUCGCAUUUAGUCGCCCCAAUUUCAGCGCGACAAAAACGUCGUCGCGCAUAUUCCGUCGCGCGAAGAUCGUGAAGAAAGCCUUUGCACGACGAGGUACAACCCUUCGUCGCGCAAAAGUGUGCGACGGGUAAACCAUCGUUGCACCAACGGUGUGGAGACGAAACAACCCUUCGUCGCAAAAAUAUUUGCGCGACGAUAAAUUAUGCGGCGCACGUAUAUUUGCGAGACGACGGGAAUUGCGCGACAAAACAUUAUUCGUCGCGCAAAAUAUGUAUGGGAGACGUAUAUGUUCGUCGCAGAACAAUUCGCGCGAUGAGAAAGUUUUCGUCGCACAUAUAAUUGCGCGACGAAAAAUUAUGUCGUCGGCCAAAUAUUUUGCGCGACGAAACAUUUCGUCGCGCAAAACGUGUUAUGUGUUCGUCGCGCAUGAAUUAAAAGUGAUAAAAAAAUAUUUGAUUUUUUUUUGUUACAUGUUGGUUUGCGCGACGAAAGAUUUUCCGUCGCGCAAAAAUAAUAUUACAAUUUUUUUUUUAUUUAUAUUUUUUAUUUGAUAUAAAAUUGGUUUCUUUUUAUUGAUUAAACAAUGAAAUUGCAAUAAAAAUAAAUUAGAAUAAAAUUUUGUUAUAAAAUAAAAUAAAAUAAAUGUAUUACAAAUAAAAUAAAUACACUAAUCAAAUAAUGAAUCAAAAUCAACCGAGUCGUCGCCAGUAUGCGGCUCGGAGGGCGGGGCGUUCACCGGGGCAGUGGUCUGGUGGGGAUGCCCGGGAUGGACGGGCUCAGAGGUCGGCGCAUCAAAAUGCGGGACUGGAAUGCCGGACUGUGCGAGGGACUGCAGAAUGACCGACAUCUGGCUCUGAAGAGUGGCCACCUGUGCUGUCAAAGCAGUGACCUGACUGUUUGACUGCGCCGAUGAACGAGGUCGAGGUUCCCUCCGCCGGGCAUUCCCCAUCCCUCGACAAUAUGUCCCCGGCCUCCUCCCGAGAGUCUGAUCCAACGUCUCCGUCAAUAUCUGAAAUCCAGCAUCCUGUGGAGGAGCCACAGACUCGAUCGGAGUCUCGGGAGGAAGCUGGGAGGCGGACUCCUGAAGAACAAGCUGGCUCCUCUCCACCAUCGUCGUCUGUUGAACAUAACAUAAAAUAUAAAUUAAAACAUGCAUAUAAAUUGAAUGCGUAACAUAAGAAUUAAAAUUAAAUAAUACUUACAUGAAGGGACUCGGCCAACUCAUUCCCGGGUCGAACAUAAACGUCACCAAAGACGUCGAUCUCUGGGAACUUGGACCCCUCCUAAAUUGAACAAGAGAAGAAAAAUAUUAGUAUGAAAAAAAUAAAUUAAUAAAAAUGACAUUAAAAAUGAAAUAAAAAUUUUGUGAUUAUUACCCGACGCCGUGCAUCCAUCCUAUAAGAAAAGGGUCUGGAGCCGGAAUGGUGGAGAAGGGUCUUCUUCUUCCUAUUACCCUUAUUCACUUGGGCUUUAUUCUGUUAUACAAAAAAUGAAACGUAUUAGUUAAAAUAUAAAAAAUUAAAUAAUAAUGAAAUAAAAAAAUAAAAUAAACAUUAAUAAGUAAUAAGUAAUAAUUAAACAAAUAUAAUUAAAAAAAUACCGCAAAUUCGGGCGCUUGAAAAUGAGCGCAGAGCCACUCCCAACUAUCCUCCCGCCCCUCAAGCUCCUUCGGGCAACCCUCCUGAAGAGCGACUUGCGGAUCAUCAUAGGCCUGAAAAUGGUGGUGCAAGUCGCUCUUCCACUGCUUGUACCUCUCAGCGAAGAGUCGGUUGACGUACGUCAACGACUCUUCGUCGAGAUCCUCCAAGUUAUAGUUCGUCUGCAAUCAAUUAAUUAGAUACGUUAAGUAAUAGAAAUAUACACAAUUUUAAAGAAAAAUAAUGAAAAUGUAAGGUACAUACCGACAACUGGCCGUGAAUCUCCGCCUGGAUCUCGUCAGGCAUGACCCUCCAAGACUUCCAUUGCAUCGGGCAAUGGGUCCGCACGACGUGGCCAAUGUCGUGGGCCAAGGAGCUAUGCAACUUCGCCGUCGGUGCAGCACGAUGGCGCUCGUCGUAUCCGAUGCUGAUACGACUGUUGGUCACCCGGGUGACCUUCGCCGUCUUCAGCUGACGACACGGUCCUCGGGUGUUCCUCUUCGCUGCAAAGAAAUAAGGUAUUAAUGUUAAAUAAAAAAACAUUGUCAAAUUUCAAUAUAAAAUUAACAAUACAAAAGUGUAGUUAUACCUGGCUGUGAUCCCGAGGCACCAGUACCGUCGGUCGAUGUCGUGUCGAUGGUGUCGGUGGGCCGGUGCCGCCGCCUAGCACUAGCUGGUUGCGCCACGGAUGACGCAGAUGACACAGGCGCCUGGGGCGCCCCGGGACCAACCACCACGUGGUCCAACAAAGCAGGAGCAGUGGCAGCAGAUGCCGACUGAGCCAGGGGAUCCGAACUCGGUGCAGUCGUCAUCGACCUACCACGUCUAAUCAAGUCUGACAUCUGCACAUAUAAUUUCAUUCAGAAUGUAAACUAAUUAAUUAAAAGCAUAGCCUGACCUAGGGUUUGGAAUUUCGGAGUAUCCGGGACUCCGAUCAACGAUCGGUCGAAUCCUAAACGAUCCUAGAAACACAAAGGUACAACUACGCGAGUUUCAGUUCGAUCCAACGGUCCGAACAUAUCAAACCUGGAAAUCGCACAAUAGGCGAAAUUCGAUCAAGACUCAAACGGUAACCAAAUUCAAAUCCGAGCAAACCUACGCGCUCGUGACAAACAGGGGAUCGCUCUGGGACACAAUGCCCCACUGCCACAGCAUCCCACGCGCCGGCAGCGCGUGGGUGUCCAAAGCGAUAACAUUCGCCGGAAAAUUCUAAAAACUAACGGCCAAGGUUCCUACCCUAGGUUGAAAACAAUAUUUGGCGCCACUUUUGUUCUCGGACCUACCCCGAAAAAUGGCCGGAAGUGGCCGGAUUUGAAAUUGCCAAACCGGCCAAAACCUAGGGUUUUAAUUCCUAUUUCCUAUACCCAUCAGCUAGAGCACAAAAAAUAGUCGAGAAAUCAUACCUCAGGCGUCGGAAAUGGUGGCCGGAGGAGAGAGAAAACGGCCGGCGAGGAAUCGGUGAAAAACCGACGAUGUGCGACGGCAGGCUCGACGGCGAAGGCAGGGGAGGCUAUGGCAGGAGCGGCGGUGGCUGAGGUGACGGCGGAGAGAGAGGGCUGAGGUGACGGCGGAGAGAGAGGCAAACGGAGGAAAAAACCAGAAAUGGGGAAGAAGGAGGCAUCGCGACGUUUCUGCAAAUUUUUACGACUUUGCGCGACGAAUCACAUCAUUCGUCGCGCAAAAUGCUAUUAAUGAAUCUUGCGCGACGCUAUAUCCGUCGCGCAAGAUCUGUCAGAACGCCAAAUUCUGAAAGUGGAUUAGGGUCUGUAAGUUUUGCGCGACGAAAUAGACAUACUUCGUCGCGCAAAAGGCUGUCUUUCCGCCAAAAUUUUGGGAUUUAGGGUUUAGCGGGAGGCUGAAACUGAAGGGUUUGCGCUUUUGCGCGACGAAGACGGUAAACGUCGCGCAAUGGUAACCUUGCGCGACGGAACGUAUUAUAUUCGUCGCGCAAAAGGCUAUCUUUCCGCCCAAAUUUUGGGAUUCAGGGUUUAGCGGGAGGCUGAAGGGUUUGCGCUUUUGCGCGACGAAGACACUAAACGUCGCACAAAAGGCUGUCUGCUGAAAUGAAUGGUUUCUGCUUUUGCGCGACGAAGACAAUAAACGUCGCGCAAAACGUUGUCGUUCCGCCAACAAUUUGGGGUUUAGGGUUUAGUGUGAAAACUGGCGCCCAGAUUGCGCGACGAAGAGUACAUAUUUCCUUCGCGCAAUCUAUUUCACUUUCACUUUGCGCGACGGAUAUGUUGGUUCGUCGCGCAAUCUUCAAGAUUUUCAUUGAAAUUUUCACUAAGUGUUCAAAGGGGAUGGAGGUGUGAAAACUGGCGCCCAGAUUGCGCGACGAAGAGUACAUAUUUCCGUCGCACAAUCUAAUUCACUUUCACUUUGCGCGACGGUUAAAUUGUUCGUCGCGCAAAAUGUAGACCCUAAACCCCCUUGUAAACCCUAAACCCUGAACCCUAAGCCAUAAACCCUAAACCCUAAAAUAGUUUCAAUGAUCCAACCGGCAAACUUAUUGUUUGAAACUUGGAGAUCAUAUACGCCAAAAAUCAAGAAGACCAAACAUUCAGAUAUCAGGGAACGGGACUAAAUAUUUCGACGGUUAUAAAUGAAAAGUCAUGAUUUAACGGUUAUUGUAACUCCGAUUUUGAUCAAUUUUGACAGCAGCAUUUGUUGACCCUAUAUGAAUACAAUGACUGAAUUUGAUCUUCAAUUUCAGAUUUUUACACUAGGGGAUACCACAUAAACGUGAAGUUACAUUUGCACAAAUGUAUAAACAAAUUUUAGGGUUUUUGGUGAAUAUAUGAUUUUGAUAGCACAUGCAGUCUACGAAACAAGUUUCAGUCAUCCAGCCGUCAAACUUGUUUUUUUAGACUUCGAGAUCAUAGACAGCAAAAAUCGGACAAAAAAAACAUUCAGAGAUUAAGCAACGGGGUAAAACUUUUCGACGGUUCUAAAUAAAAAGUGAUGAUUGAACGGUUAAUUUAACUCCGAUGUUGAUGAUUUUUUGCAGCUACAGUCCUACACUCCAUAUGAAUACAAUGAACUACUUCGAUCGCCAAUUUUAAAUAUAUAUGUGUGUAUAUAUUAUACUAUAACGUUACCUAAUAUAUAUUUGCGCGACGAAAGUUUGCUUAUCGUCGCGCAAAAAUGCCAUACGCGACGCAUGUAUAUAUGCGUCGCGGAAACUAUGCGCGACCAGUUGUAUUCGUUGCGCAAACAUUACGCGACGCUUAUGUAUGCGUCGCGUAUGGUAUGUUUGCGCGACGAUAUGGAGCCCUUCGUCGCGCAUGGAUUUGGCGCCAUAAAUCCUCAUUGAUUUCAAAUUGUGUAUGCUUUGUAUUUUUUAGAAAGGUUUUGUAUUCAUCAUUUUUUAUGCUUUGUAUUUUGUGGAAAGGCUUUGAAAUAUUCAUUUCUUUUGUUAUUUUUAUUGAAGCUUUAACUUGUUCUGUUCCGCAGAAAAUUCCAAUGAAGUUUGUGAUGAAAUAUGGAGAAUGAAUACACAACUACAUAUGGACAACUACACAUAUUCAAAGAUUUGUAUUACACAAAAUUAAUACACUAACAUAAUAAAUUUACAAAUAAAUUCAUUAUUCAUCAUCUGAACUAUAAUAACUUUCGUUAUCGUCGCUAGCUUUAACUUGUUCUGUUCCGCAGAAAAUUCCAAUGAAGUUUGUGAUGAAAUCUGGAGAAUGAAUACACAACUACAUAUAGACAACUACACAUAUUCAAAGAUUUGUAUUACACAAAAUUAAUACACUACAUAAUAAAUUACAAAUAAAUUCAUUAUUCAUCAUCUGAACUAUAAUAACUUUCGUAUCGUCGCUAUCAUCACUCUCGGUCUCCCAAUCUUCUUCCUCCUCCUCCUCUAUAACUGCAUCAUCGGCGUUGCUAGGGCCCACUGCAACAUCGUAUCGGGGAAGAUCACCGAGGUCAAUUGUAAUUGACUGAAUCGGUAUUUCGACUGAAGACACUCCUUCUAUUUGAAACGGUUCUUGUAUAACAUUUGUAUCUCGAAGUGUUUCCGCAUCAUUUUCCAUUGAAGAUUCUAAACGAUGGUCAGCCACAUUGUCGACGUCGUUGUCACUUGGGUCUAGUUCUGGUAUAUUAUACACGUUCCUAUGAUCCAUCUUCUGCACAACUUUCCACCCGUUCCCGGCUUUAGGGUCAUCUAGAUACACAAUUUGGGACGCCAUGUUUGCCAAAAUGUACGGGUCGUCAUCAUACCAAGUUCUGUUAAUAUUCACAGACAGUACUCCAUGGUCGAUUUUAACACUUCCCGCCCUAUUUGGGUUGGUAUCGAACCAUCGACACUUAAACAUGAUGACUUGGUAUCGAUCUUUGUAAAGCAAUUGCACGACAGUUGUCAGUUUGCCAUAGAAAUCAAUGUCUGUACUUUCGCCUCCACCUGGGACAUGAACACCGCUAUUUUGCGUACACAACUUGUCAUCUCGUGCGGCCCCUAAAAAUUUGACGCCGUUAACAUUACAACCCGAGAACAAUUCAGCGCGAAUUGGGCCGAACGCCAAGUUAUAUAACUCAUCACUGUAAGUGGGGGAAUUCGAUGAUUUCAAUUUAUUCACCUAAUAGUAUACAAAACCAUUUACAUGUUAGUCUGACAAAAUUAAAUACUAAAAUUUAUAUUUGUCAAUUACAAAACACUUAUAACUUACAGAAUCCAAAAACCAUUGUGGAAAUAAUUCACGGUGUUUCCGGGCAACCAAAUGUGAUGGAUGUUCUCGCUUCAUCAUCUGUUCAUGCUCAUCUAAGUAGGCCAUUAUCUCAUCACAAUUGUUCAGUACGAACCAAUGCGCUACCUCCAUGUCAUUUCUAGAAAACGACUCUCCUCGUCCAGGAUCUCCAAAUGGUCGUGCGCUUUGGGCAAAAACAGAAAGUUUUUCAUUUCUCAUACCUCCGUCAUUAUUGCGGUGAGGACGAUUGAAAACCGUCUCCACAUCUUUUAAAUACAUUCCACAGAAAGUAAGCGACUCAUAUUGAACCCAAGCCUCUAUAAUUGAUCCUUCGGGCUUUGCCCUGUUGCGUACACUUUUUUUCAGCUCUCCGAGAAGCCUGCCAAAAUAAAACGAUAUGAUACAAAUUAGCAAAGUGUCGAUAAUGAUGCAUACACAAAUGAUAAAGAUUAUAUACCUUUCUAUUGGAUACAUCCAGCGAUAGUUGACAGGACCAGCAAGCAAUGCCUCUUCUGGCAAGUGAACCAUCACGUGCAUCAUACUUAUAAAGAAAGCUGGAGGAAAUAUCAUCUCAAACUUGCAUAGGACUUGGACAAUGUCAUGGCGCAACUGAAACAUGUCUGUCCUUCGCAAUGUUUUUGCCGUCAGUUGGGAAAAAAAUCUGGAUAACAACAUGAUUGGCUUCACCACAUCUUCCGGCAGUAAGUGUCGAAUACCCACAGGAAGUAGGCGUUGCAUGAACACAUGGCAGUCAUGGCUCUUAAGUCCAGUAAAUUUACCCCCAUCGACAUUCACGCAACGUGCGAUAUUAGAAGCAUACCCAUCGGGAAAUUUGACAGACGAUACAAACUUUAGAAACUCCUUUUUGUCAUUCGGUUUCAUAGAAAAGAAUGCAAGAUCCCUUCUAGCUUUAUCACUGUCCCUAUUCAUCCAUAAACCCCUUCGUAUGCCCAUUCUUUCCAAAUCAAGACGAGCUUUGAUCGUGUCCUUCGUCUUCCCCUCGAUAUCUAGAAUCGUGCCCACCAAUGUGUCGAAAACAUUUUUCUCAACAUGCAUCACAUCUAGAUUGUGCCUCAAUUUCAGUUUCGACCAAUAUGGGCGCUCAAAAAACAUAGACUUGUGCGUCCAGUUCAAAUGUGUAGAAGGUCGGGUCCGACUAACUGUUUUCCCGAACGGAGCAAAAUCCAAACGGUUCAGCUGUUCCAAGAUCUCAUCACCGGACCAUUCUCUAGGUCUGAGGCGACGCUCUGUGUUCCCGUCGAACUCUUUAUCUUUUUCUCGCCACUCGUGGUCCCAUGGCAACCAUCUCCGAUGACCAAGGUAACAAACUUUUCCCGCGUGCCAACCAGAAGUUACAUCUUCCUUGCAUACAGGACAUGCCAUAUAACCCUUUGUGCUCCACCCAGAAACCAUUGCAUAUGCUGGAAAAUCAUUCACAGUCCACAUAACUGCUGCUCGCAAAGUGAACAUCCUCCCAGUUGAUUUAUCGUACGUGCGAACACCGUUUGUCCAUAAAUCCUUCAGCUCAUCAACCAGAGGCCUUAAGUACACAUCAAUUGACCUGCCAGGAUCCUCAGUUAUCAAAACAGUCAUCAUCAUGUAUUCUUUUUUCAUGCAUUUCCAAGGCGGCAAAUUAUAUGGGAAUGCGAAAAUCGGCCAAGUGCUGUGGUGUUGGUUUAGAACCCCAUACGGAUUGAAUCCGUCAGUGGCAAGUCCCAAUCUAACAUUUCGGGGAUCAGCAGCAAAUUCGGGGAACGUUCGAUCGAACUCUUUCCAUGCCUCCCCAUCUGCAGGAUGCCGCAUCACAUCAUCGUCUACCCGUUUUUCCUUAUGCCAUCUCAUGUCUGUGGCAGUAUGCGUUGACAUAUACAAUCGCUGCAACCUAGGUUUAAGGGGCAGAUAACGCAUGACUUUUUGUGGUAUCUUAGUCGUUCUAUUCUGGGAUGUCAGUUUGAACCUCGACUCAUUGCAUAUAGGGCAUGUAUCCAACGUUUCAUGCUCUUUGUAGAAUAACAUGCAAUUGUUUUUGCAAGCGUGGAUUUUUUCAUAACCCAAUCCAAGACCGUGCAACACCUUCUGUGCAUGUUUAUGGUCUUUCGGCAAACAAUUGUCCGUCGGAAGCAUUCUCUUGAAAACCCCCAAAAAGUAAUCAAAACACAAGUUCGACAUACGAUACUUUAUUUUUCCGUGCAUUAGCUCCACAAUGGCAGUGAGAACGGAAAACCUCUCGCACCCCGGGUAUAACUCUUGGUUGGCAUUUUUUAACAGUUUUUCAUACUGUUCAAACUCCGCACUGUCUAUUGGUGUAGGCACGUCAUCUUCCCCUUCCUGAUUGAUGUUGGUCGAUGCGAAUGGAAAAGCAUCCUGUAUAAUACCCAUGACUUGAUCAUUAGGAUCCACAAUAGGUUCAACAUUGUCCACUCUCGGGGCAUUUGAAGACGAAGCAUGGUCUACUUGUUCGCCGUGAAGGUUCCAAAUGCUAUAUGUUUCAAUCAUUCCAUUCCUUACUAAAUGAAAUCCAACAUUUUCAAUUGUCUCCCACAACGUGUUGUUACACCUCCUACAAGGACAACGGAUUCUAGUUGCACCCGGGUUGUGUCUACGUGCAAACUCAAUAAAAUCCUCGAUUCCAUCCAAGUAUUCGUCUGCGCAUCUAUUCGGGUUCUGUAUCCACCUUCUGCUCAUAAUUCCUGAAACCACAAUCACGACACAACAAUCACAACAACUUCAUACGAAGUUAUAAUGUCACCUUAUGCCUCCGGUAAGGGCCCUAUCCCAUUCGGGAAUGCAUAGUCCUGUCACGUAACCUACGGCUACAUGAGAUUAGAUUUCGACGUGGAUUAAUUUCAGCAGCAUCUCGACACAGUUCUUGAAGUGGGCAUAGGUAUAAAUACCUACGUACCACCCGAAGAACGUACCGAGAUGACACCGAAAUCUCCACAAUCGAAACCUAAUCCUGUAGCCGAAGAUUAUGUGACAACACUAUGCAUUACCAAACUGUCCAAAUAAUGGGACAAUUCAAGAAUUAAUUGGACCGCAGUCAUGCAUUACGCAUCCAUGCACGAAAUUCAACUAAUCUCGAACGGGAAACUACGUGUUACUAAACAUAAAAAUAAAAGUACGAAGUUAAUUUCAAUUAACUUCGUACAUCACAACACAUUGUGCUAUGUCACGCACAAUUUCACAACAUUAUACACAUAUAACUUCACAAAAAAAUUACAAACAUAACAAACAAACUUUUACAAUAACAUACCUUCUCAAUCGUUCUCCACCAAUCACAAAUAUCCCUAACGAUAACAAAAUUAAUAGCGUUACUACGAAUUUACAUUAAUACAUUUAAACUAACGACAAAAAAUACAUACCCAAUGAACGUACUGAAUUCACAGUAGAGCAACGGCAGAGAGAGUGAGAGAGAGGUAGAAUGCAGUGGGAGAGUGAGAGAGAGGCAGAAUGCAGAAACUGCAUUCUGCCUCUGCAAUGGAACUGGCUAAAAUGAAGAAGAAGGACUUUGCGCGACUAACAAUCCAAUCCGUCGCGCAAAAUGCCGUCGCGAAAACCCACUUUUCCGUCGCACAAAAAAACAUUUCCGUCGCGCAAUUACCUGCCGACAUCAGGUUUUUUGCGCGACGAAUACAAUUAUCCGUCGCACAAACAUCCGUCGCGCAAAUAACAUUAUUCGUCGCGCAAGGUUUAUAUUACGUCGCGCAAAUAACACUUAUUUCGUCGCGCAAGAAAUUACACUUUACGCGACGAAGGUAAUUCCGUCGCGCAAAAAAGUUUUUUCCACCCUGCAUUUUGCCGCCAAAAUUAAGUAACCCUCGUUUUCUUACGCGACGGUACAUAUUUCCGUCGCGCUAAGGCGUCUUUUGCGACGAAAAUGUUCGUCGCGCAAGAUUCUGGCGCCAAAAACAUAAACUGGGGAUUUUUCCCCGACCUUUGCUCGACGAAAUUAGUUUUGGUCGCGCAUAGAUUGUUUGCGCAACGAAGAUUGUUCGUCGCGCUAGUGUUCUGCUGUUUGCGCUACGGUAUUUUUUUUUCGUCGCAAUAGUGAUUUUUGCGCGACGAAAAUAUAUUCGUCGCGCAAACGUCCGUCGCGCAAAUAGUAAAUCGUAGUAGUGUGAUUUGGUUUAGACUUGGUUUAAUUAUCAUUGUUGUGGUUGGUUCACCAAAAAGAUUUGGCUUAGAAUUACCAGUUUUGUUGUUGGUUUAGUUAUGCUUGGCAUUUGAGGAUCCUAUGCUUACUUGUAUGGGUAAUACAUUUUAUUGAUCGUUUCAUAUACUAAUUAUGAACUUUUAGUUCCAUUGUGCAUUUAAGAGUACACAUAUUUCAUAUGUAAUUCGAAAGUUUGUCGCUGAAAUUUCUGAGAAUUUGAAACUAGAUAAGCACACCUUGCACAAAGUUCAUAUAUUUUCUUCCAGCAAGUCUGUCUAUUAACCCCCCUUAUCUGAAAUUAAUUGUUAAAAGUUCUGAUUCAUCUUUAAUCAUUGUCUUACCCUUGUUGAAUAACACUCCUCAUUCUAAUUUAUAUUCGAAGUUUGAGGUUUCAAUUUCAAUUGUGGGCUUUGAUUUUACAGAUUUUGUUUGUCAAUUUCAAUUUGGACAAAGCAUAUGCAAACAAAGUAAGGCAUUAUCUAUUAUUUGGAUCAUUUCCAUAUGUUUAUAUGUUUUUAAUAUCAUUUGCCUAUGUAGUUGACAUGUUAUAACAUUUUCGUAGUGUUGAAUAUAUAUAUAUAAUAAUUUUAUUUUAGUGGAUGUGAGAUCUCAGUUUGUUGCUUUAUAUAAUUAUUUCUUUGCAAUUUAAUUUUUUUUAUCAGUCAUACUAUUGUUGACGGCUAAAAACCAUCAAGAAACAACUCUUAAGUUUUUUAAAAAAUAAAUAAAUAAAUAAAGAUUUGUUGAUGCUUAAAAAGCAUCAAGAAAAGAUAGUUUCUUGACGGUUUUGUGACGUUUCAUAACCGUCAUGAAACAUUACAUUUUGACGAACGUCUUUCUGAUAGUGGCAUCCGUGACGCUUUCCGAGCCAUCAAUUAAGGGCUAUCGUGAUGCUUUUUAGUUGUCAGCAAAAGGUGUUUUUCUUGUACUGUAUUCACUCAAAAUCGUUUUUCAUUUAGGGUUGCUAGUGUGGUUGAAUGCCAUUUGUUUUGUUAAUGAAUAUUAUACAUUAUGGAUUUUUGUAGAAAUGUCGCUUGAAAUUAUACCUCAGUUUCAAUUUGUCACCUUAAAGAAAAAUUUAAGAGAAAUGUCACCUUAAUUUUUCAAAAUCCACGAUUUGUCAUCUCACUUUAACAUCAUCCAAUUUUCCAUCUAUUUUAAGGGUAUUUUAGUCUUUUCAUUUUCAAGGGAAAAAAAGAGAGGAAGAAAAAGACCUCUCUCUUACUUUCUCCCCCAACCCAACCCCACCCGCCCCCCAAAACACAUCGCAUAGGACCGCCUCCCCCUUCCCCACAUUUCUUUUUUCUUUUUGGCCUACUUUUCCACUAUGUUUAUGUUGAAGGAUCUAAAGUUUUCUUGGUCACCAUCUAUUACGUAGGCUACCGACUUGUUGGUUUGGGUGGGUUGAGGGAAUUUGUGUGUGGAGGGCAGGUGUUCAUGUUGUGUGCACCAAGACCUUAUCGUUGAUGAACUAUGUGACGGCACACACACAAACUCGUUGAGAAUAAAACAAACAUACCACCAAGAGAGUAAAACAAACACACAAGGACACAAAGAUUUAUAGAGGUUCGGCCUCCUGCCUACGUCUUUUUGGUGAUUCACUCGAGAAAUUCACUAGUAUGUAAAAAUAACUUUGGUUACAACUGAACCCCCUUAGCCCUCACAAGAACCUUAGAUCUCUUUUCUCUCACCCUUGCUCAAACCCUUUGAUGCCCUUGUAGACACUCAAGAAUUCACCCUUGAAUUCUAUCUUGUGUUACAUCUUCUCUUCUCCCUUUUGUUAACCUAACCCUAAAAGUCCUAUUUAUAAUGCAUAGGACUUAAGUUACAAGUUAACUUGGAAUAGGAAACAUAAAAUACCCCAAAAAUUGGAGAAAAUCUGUCCAAAUCUAGCCUGCAAAAUCAUCCUUCUGCCGCUCGAGCUGCCGGUGGCGCUCAUGGGAUGGGGGAAUUGGAGAUUUUCUUUUCAAUUUUAAUUGUUUAAAAGAUAUACAAUUUUUUAUUAUAAUAAUUUUUCCAUUUUUAAAAUACACUUGAAAAUAGAAAGCUUAAAAUGCCCUUAAAAAUAGAUGGAAAAUUGGAUGGUGUUAAAGUCAGAUGACAAAUCAUGGAUUUUGAAAAAUUAAGGUGACAUUUCUCUGAAAUUUUUCUUUUAAAAGUGACAAAUUGAAACUGAGGUAUAAGUUCAGGCGACAUUUCUACAAAAAUCCCUAUACAUUACAAUAUUAUAACAAUAAAAUUGGCUAAAAUUGAUAUGUUCCCUCUUUUCUUUUCUUUUUCUCUUUUCCUUUUCAUUUUAUGCUUUGUUGCUAUUGCUAUGUUUAUCCUACAAAUAUAGCAACUUCUCCACCAUUCAUUUGUUAGUGACUACGAUGCUUAGUAACUUCUUCAGCUCCCCUUAUUUCCAUGUACUAACCAGGGACACCAGGUCAGCAUCUUCGGUAAGAAUCCUAACUCAAUCAAACAAUGACAUCUGUAAAUAUUCAAAAUUGGAAUUUGCAUUGUGAUAGUUGAAAGCAUCCUUGUCCCAAAAAAAGCCAAAAAAUAAAAUAAAAUUGAGAGCAUUAAGUCCUUUUCAAAUUAUGCUAAUAUGCAAAAUUGGAAUUUUGAUGGAGUUGCUUCCUUGACUUUUCCACCUUUGUAUCCAGUCCACUUUGCACAAGGAGCCAAGUUUGAGAGAUAGUUUUCUGUAUUUACACCAUCCAGGAGAAAAUUAAAAAACUAUUUCAUGCCAAACUAACUACGGAUUCUUGCAAAGGACCCAUUAGUGUAGUGGUUUGGAGUAUUUACUCCCUCAGGCAAGGUCUUGGGUUCGAGUCCUAGCAUUCAUGUUGUGUGUGUGAGUUUAAUAUGCUAUCACCCCUUCCAAUAGGAAAGGACCUCAAAAAAAAAAAAAAAACUACAGAUUCUUUAAUUGAAAGAAACCCCAUAUUAAUCAUCCUUUGGCACAUAAAUGUUUGGUAAUUGGCAUUAAAGUAUCUAAAGGUUACGAAAUUAAAGAUUUUAAUGCAAACCUAAAAUUGGAAAAGAGGGCACCAAUUCAUGUAAAAUAUGGUGUACUUAGUAGAUCCAACAUAUUUUUUUAGCAACCAAGGACAAUCAUCAUUUUUUUUUUUAAGAACCAAGGAUAGCUUACAUUCUAGUUUGUCCAUCAUGUCAACACAUUUAUAAUUAAAACUUCUUUUUUGGUGAGGUUUCAAUUUUUGUCACUGUAACAAGACCACAAUUGCCAUUCAGUAUGCUAACAUUGUCACUAUGUUUGCCAAUUGCAUAUUAUCUAGAACAUAAAGGCUUUGGUGUUUUGUAUAUCCUCGGGGUGCCAAACCUGUCUUUAUAAAAAUGGUCCUUAUGAUACUACUUUAACAACAAAAAAAUAUAAUAAACUAGGCCUUUGUAGUCACUGAACGAAUGUUUUCUCAUAGAUAUGACUAUUUAAAUGUAAUUACGGGAUUAAAACAUUAUAAUAAAUUGGAGUGAACCAUAACAUUAUAUAUGAUCCAAUCCUUUUCAUAUAUUUUUGUUCAAGACUUUGUUUUAGAAUGCUCUUUUACUAAUUUGGUACAGGUCCCUAAAAUCUACGCCUUUAUGAGGCAACGUCUUUAUUUCUUUGGUUAUUCCAGUUUAGAAUAUAUUUGUACAAAUGAGAUGACUCCCAACAUAAAGUCACAUUCAACCAAAAAGCAUGAAGUCACACACAAAAAGAACACGGACAAUUGCUAAGUUUAUCUUGUAUCCUUAUUUUAUUGAUCCAACCCAAUUGAAAAAUAAAAAAGAUGAUAUAAUAUAUUGUUCACUGCUUACAUCCAUGAGUAAAGUCCUCCAUUUGAAAUUGCGUGAUUAUACAAAAUUGGAAUGAAAAAAGAAAAUCCUACAACUAAAUUUGAUAUAUUCCUUUUCAUUUUAUGUUGGAUGUUAAGUUUUCUUGUUUCUUGUUGAAAAGAAAAAUGAAAAGAAAUAAAUAAAUUACACAGCUAGCAACUUCUCCACCUUCCCUUCUUCCCAUGUACUGACAACAAGGGAGGCCUUCAAUCCAAAAUAAAGACAAGGGAUGCCAGGUCAGCAUCUCAGAUAAGUAUCCCAACCAAAACCAAUCAAAUAAUGACAUAUGUAUCUCUUUUUGUGUUUUGUUCUAUUUCUCUUUGAAUUAACUGCGAAGUUUCAUAAGCGUGUCCUCCUUUUGAAAUUGUGUAUUAUUCAAAAUUGGAAUUUGCUGGUCAUACUUGAUAUAAGCUAAAACAGUUUCCAACAUCUUGUACCAUUUUUUUCCAGUGUGGGUCAUAACUUGAAGAAGCCCACCGACAAUUUCUCAAAAGCUAUUACCAUCCAACUUUGAAAAAUAAAAGUUUCAAAAGUUACCCCAAACAACAGCCCUUGAAAGAGAGUUUUCCAAGGCUAAAGAUUACAAGGAUGUUAUUGGCACAUGCAUUAACGUGUGACAAGAAGUUAGUUAUAUUUAUAAAGUAAAAGAACGAAGUACAUAACAUGUAAGUUGAUGCCAAAUAUUUGAUCAACAGAGCUAAACAUAAAACCACGACAAUAUAACGUUGUUCACCAAAAAUUGUGUUUCGUUGAGGGUCAGUAGUGUAGGUUUCAAGAUACGAUUUAUUUUGUUAAAGAAUAUUCUGAUAUUCUAACAAUAAAAUUGGCUCAAUUUGAUAUGUUUCUUUUUUUUUUUGUUUUUGUUUUCCCUUUCAUUUUAUGCUUUGUUGUGCUAUUGCUAAGUUUAUCCUAGAGACCAGGGAUGCUUAGCAAGUUUCUUCACCUGCCCUUCUUCCCAUGUACUAACUAGGGAUACCAUGUCAGAAUCUUAGAUAAGAAUCCCAACCCAAUCAAACUAUGACAUCUGUAAGUAUUCAAAAUUGGAAUUUGCAUUGUGAUAGUUGAGUGGAAGAAUCGAUUAAGGCUUGAGUGGAAGACAAACUUCAGUGGAGGAAAGUAAUUAAUCUCACAAGACAUAGCCCAUCAGUUGGCUCAUUUUUCUUGAGUGUGUAGUCCUGGCCUUGAGGCGAGGCCACAUUGCUUUGGAGAUUUCUUUCUACUUGGUGAAAUUAUAAUUUAGAAGAAGCAAACUGCGUUUUGCAAUUUGUGCGAUUCAAGCAUAUCUGACACUAGUAAUUAGACCAUAAUCUUUGUCCGACCAGAAAAUAAGAAAAGUUGUCUUGUACCAUUUCUGCCAGUGUGGGUCCCACCCACCCCAUACGAGUAAUUUGAAGAAGUCCACCGACAAUUUCCCAAAAGCUUUGGCGUCCAACUUUGCCGACCCCAUCCCCAUGUGAGGCCAUAGAAAAGUUUUCAGCCACAAUCAAAGAAGGGAACAGUCCUUGAAAAGAGAGGGUUUUCCAAGGCCAAGAUUACAAGUUCAUGUUAUUUACAGUCUCAAAAAGCUUCCAUACUUGUUUACAAACCUGUAUUUUCAAGUUGUGCUAGCCUAGCUAUUUGCAAAUCUUGGAAUAUUUUACUUCAUCCAAAUCCCUUGCAGUCUGCAGAGAAGAUAAAAGACAUGGCUUUGAUUGGAGAGGCUCUUAUCUCUGCUUCCGUCCAGGUGUUGUGCGACAGAAUUACUUCACCCGAGUUCGUUGACUUAUUUUGGCACAAGAAACUCGAUGAGCCACUCCUCAGGAAGCUGAGGACGACACUGUUGGCCUUGAACUUGGUGCUCAAUGAUGCAGAGGGGAAGCAACUUGUGAACCGAGAUGUGAAAAAGUGGCUUGACGAGCUCAGACAUGCUGUCUUUGAUGCGGAGGACUUACUGGAUGAGAUUGACACUGAAGCUUUGCGAUGCAAGCUGGAAGAAGGUGAAGAUCAAACUCACAAAUUUACCAAUAAGGUGCGGAACUUGCUCUUUUCUCCUCGUAGUCAUUUUUAUCAGAGCAUGAAUGAUAAGAUAAAAGAGUUACUAGCAAGGUUAGAAAACUUUGUACAACUGAAAAGUGCUCUUGGUCUGGGAGAAGUUGCUGGGAGGAAGGUUUCGCAAAGAACUCAAACAACCUCCUUGGUUCUUGAACCUUAUGUAUAUGGUAGAGAUGAAGUCAAAGAAAAGUUAUCAAAAGUGUUGCUAUCUGAUGAAGCAGGCAAGGAUCCUGUGUCUUUCCUCACCAUUGUUGGAAUGGGUGGGGUUGGCAAGACAACCCUUGCUCGAAUGCUUUACAAUGACGAUAAGGUGAAAGGGCAUUUUAAACUUAAAGCUUGGGCUUGUGUUUCAGACUACGAUGAUUAUAUUAAAAUUACUAAAACUCUCCUUGAGGCAGUCACUUCAAAGCCUUGUAACACGGCAAAUCUGAAUUUGCUUCAAAAAGAUCUAAGAGAGCAAUUGAGGGGAAGGAAAUUUUUAUUUGUGUUGACCUAUGGAAUGAGAAUAAUGAGGAUUUGAACUACCUUAGAGCUCUUUUUAUUACUUUAGGAACAAUGGGAAGUAAAGUCAUUGUAACAACACGGAACAAAAAUGCAGCAUCUGUCAUGCAAAAUGUUCAUAUUCAAUACUUAGAACCAUUGUCGUAGGAGGACUGCUGGUUAUUACUUGCAAAACAUGCAUUUGGAAAUGAAAAGUGUAGUGCACAUUCAAACUUGGAAGACAUUGGAAAGCAAAUUGCACUCAAGUGCAAAGGGUUGCCUUUAGCUGCACAAACACUUGGGAGUUUGUUACGUUGCAAUAUGGAUUUCGAGUACUGGAAUAGAAUACUAAAUGAUAGUUUUUGGGACCAACCCUAUGAUAAAACUAACAUUCUUCCGGCUCUAGGGUUGAGUUACCAUUAUCUUCCUACUCAGUUGAAACGAUGCUUUGCUUAUUGUUCAAUUUUUCCAAAGGAUUAUGAGUUUGAAAAGGAAGAUAUAGUUCAAUUAUGGAUUGCAGAAGGUAUAAUUCCACAAGCUGAGAAUGGAAAAAGGAUGGAAGCAUUGGCUAGAAUAUACUUUGAUGAGCUGUUAUCACGAUCGUUGUUUCAAAAGUCAAGUAAAUUCAGCUUCAUUAUGCAUGAUCUCAUUAAUGACUUGGCUAUGUUCAUGUCUCAGGGGUUUUGCCUUAGGCUCGAAGAUGGGGUAUCCCGUGAAGUUAAAAGAGCUCGUCAUUUGUCAUAUGCUAGGGGAGAAUUUGAUGCUGCUCCAAGAUUUGAACCAUUAUAUGAGGCUAAAUGUUUGCGGACCUUCCUACCUACCAUUUGUUGUGGGCAAAUCUACUGGAUCAGGCAUAAGAGAACUGAGGCAGUUCCCGCAACUUCGAGGAAAACUAUCAAUUUUGAAGCUACAAAAUGUAGUUGAUGCGAGGGAUGCACUGCACGCCAAUAUGAAGCACAAGAAAGAUCUCAAGGAGUUAGAGCUUUCAUGGGGUGCGGAGGAUGCUGAUGAUUCCCAAAAGGAGAAAGAUGUACUCGACAAGCUCCAGCCUUGCGUGAAUUUGGAGAAAUUAACCAUCAAAUUCUAUGGUGGAACUAAUUUUCCGAAUUGGUUAGGAGACUCGUCUUUUUCUAACAUACAAGUCAUGCAUCUCAGUGACUGUAGUUAUUGUUGGUCGCUCCCACCAGUUGGACCGCUACCGGCACUCAAACAGCUCUGUAUAAGAAGAAUGAAGUUUGUGAAGACGAUUGGCGUUGAAUUCUAUGGCAGAAAUGGAGCUUAUCUGACUCAGCCAUUUCGAUCUCUGGAGAAGCUAGAGUUUAGGGAGAUGCCAGAGUGGGAGGAAUGGGUACCAAGUGGAAGUGCAAGUGGAGGUGAAUAUGGUCCAGACUUUCCUCGUCUCCAGGAGCUGAUUCUAUACGAGUGUCCGAAGCUAAGAGGAAGUUUGCCUUGUGAGUUGCCUUGCUUGAAGAAGCUUACGGUGUAUGGGUGUAAGGUUUUACAUGAUGGAAGGGCCAUUACCGCAACUACCAAUAGUCUUAACUAUAAAUCUCUGGAAGAAUUGAAUAUAAGUGGUGGAUGCCAAACUCUGUUAUCAUUAUUAGAGACAAAGCUCCUGUCCGGACUUGAGAUUCGAAAUGUUGUUGACAUACAGUGCUUGCCCAACUGCAGUCGUCUUCAACAUUUGACUCUUUCGAAUUGUCCAACGCUGUCAUCAUUUCCCAAAGAUGGCCUACCCACUACAUUGACAUCACUUUAUAUAAACAAUUGUAGGAAAUUAGAAUUCCUACCUCAUGAGAUGUUGGCCAAAUUAACAUCGCUUGACUAUUUGUGCAUACAAAAUAGCUGUGAUUCAAUGAGGUCCUUCCCGUUGGGCAUUUUUCCCAAAUUGACGAGGCUUGAAAUUCGUGGUUGUGAGAAUCUGGAAUCCCUUUCCUUGAUUGAAGAAGAAGGAGCUGUUGAGAAUCUCAGCCAUCUCAAUUACUUGCAAGUCUAUAACUGUCCAAAAAUGGUGUGUUUUCACGAGGGAGAAUUGCCCACUCCCAACCUGAGUCACUUUGUAGUCGGUGGUUGCGAGAAUUUGAAGUCAUUGCCCAAAAGCCUUCACACCCUCACUGCCCUUCGAUCUUUGUCGAUAUGUAAUCUUCCGAAUCUGGAGUCAUUUGCAGAAGAUGGGGGUUUGCCUCCCAACCUCCGACAAGUAAGUAUUAGGAAUUGUGAGAGACUGAGGGCUUCAUCAGUGGGUUUGCAAGCACUUGACUCCCUUGAGAUCAGUGGAAGUGACCAUGUAUUCUCUAUCACACUCUUCACAUCUAUUCUCUAUCAACUCUGAAAUCUUUGGACGGAAAGGGUCUUGGACACCUCACUUCUCUUCAAGAGCUAGAUAUUAACAGGUGUCCAAGUCUGGAAUUCCUGCCAGGAGAGGAACUUCAACACCUCACUUCUCUUCAAAAUCUAUACAUUUGGAACUGUCCCAGUCUUCAAUGCUUGCCAGAAGAGGGUUUUCCAUCAUCUCUUUCUCAUCUGAGUAUCCGCCGGUGUCCUACCCUGGAGGAAAGGUAUAAGAAUAAAACGGGACGAGAUUGGGCCAAGAUAUCUCACAUUCCUUGCAUCGAGAUAGGCAACGAAGUGAUCAUAUAAUAUGAGCUAUUCCAUAUUUCACGCUCAACCCUCAACUCUCAAAUCAAAGUCAGGUGAGGUAUGUGCCUUCUCUUACUUUAAAAAACUGCUGCUCAAUAACACUCUUCGCACUCUAUAUAUUAUGGCCUGUCAGUCUAAAAUUCCUGCCAGGAGAGGAACUUGAACGCCUCUCUUCACUGCAAAGGCUACAUAUUUGUGGGUGUGACAAUAUCCAAUUCCUGCCAGAAGAGCGUUUGCUGCAAUCUCUUUCUUAUCUGUGCAUCGACCAUUGUUUUGCCAUGUAGAAAAGGUAUCUCACAUUCCUUGCGUCAAGAUAGGUGAAGAAGUGAUCAUAAGAUAUGAGCUCUCUCUCCCUCUCGCUCACAUACAAAGUACUUAAAACACUCAAUCUGAUUUCUAUUAUUAUUUUGCUCAGUAAAUUUUGUUUAAAUUUGCUUUGUUUCUCAUUGCGCUUGUUCUGCUUAUCACAACUUAUAUCCUAUUUAAAUCUCAAAUGCUGAAUAGUUAGCAGUCUUUUCGCAGGACAGCAUAUCUUCUCUUGGAGAGCUAUUCAUUUGCAAGGUUUCUUUAUGUGUCAUUUCCAGAGGAGGGUUUACUAUUUAAUAGAAAGGUUCACCUGGAAUAUCUCAAAUGACACAUUCCCAAAUACAGGCAUUGAAUGCACAACAUUUUGAGGUACUAUUUUUGUAAUAAAAAUGUACUUGAGUCUCAUUUGAGCUAGUUUAAAUUGUAUUCAAUGUCUAUGGAUAACCUGUGAGCUUAAGUUGUAAGAUAAAACUCACAGUAUAUUAUUAGGGUUUAGGGUUCAACAGGUGAGCUUAAGUUGUACUUUCCUAGGUACUGCAUGUAUAUUAUCUUAGUAUCAACACUUGGUCUUAUGUGGACGAGAGAGAACAUUUGAGGAAUUACAAAAUCUUCUUAGUGAAUUAAGCUUGUUUCAGCUCUGUUUGUCAUCCCUCACAUUUUCUUUGUUAAGCCUUGAUUUUUUAUUAGACAUACGAAAAAAUGCUUUUAUAAGACAGGAGAUGAAUGCUUUUAUAUGUUGAUGUCGUAGUCAGUCUUCAACCACACUCUGUUUUUAGAAUUCAUUUAUGUUACUAGUUGAGAGCUGCUGUAUUUUAUAUUUCGUUCCUGUAAUGUUUGGAUGUUUAGCUUGAGCAGUCUAGCUUAUCCAGUAGAUAACUUGUCCCCUGUUUUGUAAUGUUUUUGUUUCCUCUAAUGAAAGCAGGUUUUACUUAUCUUGAACUGCAGAAGCCUACUUUUUGACAUAGGUGGCAUGGCACAAACUCGCAUCCGCAUUUCCAUCCCCAUUGGCAUGCUGUCUCAUCUUUUCUAUUCUGUUACCAGCUUGAAGCUUGUGUGGACAUGUUAUGCUCUUGUAAUUCUGAUCACAAACAUCACUUGACAAAUGGAAAGUCACAAUCAGAUCUUUCAGGUGAUCUGGAGGUUUACUUUCUAACAUUUGUUUUCGUGGGGGGGAGACAACAAUACAGAAUUUAAAAUUUCUGAUAAUCAAUAGUAGUUUGCAUAUAUCAGCUGGGACCUGUAUGACUGUAUUAUGUAAUUAAUUAUUUCUCUUAUUGUUUGGGUACUGUUAAAAGGAGUUAGCCACACAACAUAAAAAAGGAGGUCUCUUAUUUCAUACAAUUUUUCAAAUGUGAUCAUUAAUCCGUUUCUUUUUCAACAAUAGAGGAAUGUAUACUAAUCGUCUGGUCCAUCUGCUGCUUCACUCCCUAGUAGCUUCAUCUCCUGUCCUUUGCUUUAUUUCUGUUGAUGAAUGUUUUGUCUGGGUUAUUUAUUUUCAUUUCAUGUCCAUUGCUUUAUUUCUGUUUGGAUUCUUAAUUAAAUCUGUCCUGGACUUGAACAAGGGUUAGGUUAGCUGUAUAAUUUGCGGUUUUAUAUACACAACUGUCUACAUUGAUUAAAACCAGCAUUAUUCUAAGGUUCAUUUAGAAUGUAUUAUCACCAAAAUUAUAAAGAAUACUUCUAUUACAAUUAAUUUGUUGAUUCUAAUUUGGACUUGUAGGAACAGACCAAACAUGUUCAUGCGUGGCAUUGCUCAAGUCAUCAUCAUUCGAGACAGAGAAUAAGCCUUCAAGUGUCUGCUGAGUCAAUGAACCUUUCUAGAUAUCUCAAGUGUAAUGGAAAUUGAUGAGUUACAAAGGAUUUGUAAACAUUUUCUACUGGAGGCUAGAAAUGCUUCAAAUAAAUGACCGUGUUGCAAUUAUUUUGUAGGAUCAAAGACUCUGCAAAGAGGUAAGAAAGUCAUCAUCAAGUAACUUUGCUCUUCAAACUUUUUAUUUUUAUUUUUAAAUAUCAGUAAUAACUGGGAAAGCUUGCAUCUCCUUAAAUUGCUCAUUCUUACAUCUUUUAUAGUUUGUUGAUCUUGGGCAAGUGGAGAGAGAGGCGUCAAGUGAUACGCAACAACCAUUUUCUGUGAGCUGAUUUGAUAAAGAGAAAUGGUAUGCUUUCUUGUCUUAAGCGGUGUGUUCUGCAAUUAUUUGAAACAAAGGAUGCCGCACUUCAAGUUCGAGAAAAUCAGGUAUUUUAGUAUUUUAUUCUUGAGAAAUUUGAUUUAUGUAGAAACUUGAACAUGUAAAUAAAAUAAAUAAAAUAUAUUAUAUGCUGUUAAUGAGUUAAUAUGGUGCUUGCUUCUAGUUGGAAAUUUAUGUAGUCAUCUACCUAUGAUCAAAUAAAGAUGAAGAAUAAAAUAUAAUUGAGAGCAUCUUCCUCUCCCCUGCUUUGCUCAUCCCUUGUUCUUCCACUUCAGCCCCACUAUUACACCAUUUUUUCAGCCACAAUUAUAAUAGCUCCAUGAGCAUUAAGUCCUUUUCAAAUUCUGCUGACAUUCAAAAUUGGAAUUUGCUGGUGAUAUAUGAUAGCAUCUUUGUCCGACCAAAAAGAGAAAAAAAAAAAGUUGAUAGCAUAUUGUACCAUUUUGGCCAGUGUACGCAAUAUUAUUGCAUCCAACUUUGCAUAUUAACAUCAGUGGCCACAGUUCCAUGAUUUGAGUGCACAGAAAAGUUUCAAAAGUUGUCCCACAAAGAACAGUCGUUCAAAGUGAAAGAGAGAUUUCAAAGCUUAAUUACAAGUUCAUGUUAUUUACAAUAUCAAAAAGCUUUCAUACUUGCUUACAAACCUGUAUUUCCAAGUUCUGCAAACCUUGGAAUAUCACUUCAUCCAAAUCCCCUUCCAAAGCAGGAAAAAAUGGCAGCAGCUUUGAUUGGAGAGGCUCUCAUCUCUGCUUCUAUCGUGGUGUUGUGUGACAGAGUUACUUCAGCCGAGUUCAUAGACUUAUUUCAGCAGAAGAAACUUGAUGAAACACUCCUCAUGAACCUGAAGACGACACUGUUGAUUUUGUUUGCGGUGCUCAAUGAUUCAGAGGAGAAGCAAAUUGUGAACCCUGAAGCUUUGCGAUGCAAGCUGGAAGGUGAGGAUCAAACCCACAAUAAUUAACCAAAAAGGAUCUUUUUGAUUGUUUGAAAGGAGGGUCUUGAUGAUUUGAAAGGAGAGGGUUGCUUUAUUUCUGUUGGAUGCUUAAUUAAAUCUUAUUUGGAGUUGAACAAGGAUUAGGUUAGCUGUAUAAUUAGUGGUAAACGCCUUUUUCUAAGGGUCAUUUAGACUCCUAUUACGAUUAAUUUGUUGUUUCUAAUUUGGACUUGUAGGAACAGACCAAAUAUGUUCACACGUGGCAUCGCUCAAGUCAUCAUCAUUUCAGACUGAAAAUCAGCCUUCGAGUGUCUGUUGAGUCAAUAAACCUUUCUAGAUAUAUCAAGUGCAAUGGAAAUUCAUGAGUUACAUAGAGAUUUUUAAACAUUUUGAAGAUUGCAACACCUGCAAGUGAGAUAGGCGGUGACGAAAUCAGAGCUGAUUUUGAAGCCUCUGAUGCCCCUGUUGUUGCAAGUUGCACCUGAGAACAAGUUUUUUUUUUCUUUGGGGUAAAAAACUGGCAACAUGUUCGGAGCUGACAAUUCAAUCCCUGAUGAACUAGAGAAGCAAAGCUCCGGUAAGGAAAUUGGUCAAGGUUGUGACAGGGAUGAUUGAUGGUGAAAUGGAUGCUAUUUCUUAUUGCAGCCUGUUCUCAAAGUUCUUGUUGG